GUCAAAAAAUUGGCCUCAGGAUCUGGGUAACUCACCGCGCCAGAACUGGGGAUAUCGUGGUCCUGGAGAUCAUUCGCCGAGGCGGUCGAUAGACGAUAGCCCACAUUGUGGACUACAUAAAAUCAUUUUGCAAAUUCUGGUUCUCCUAUGUAGCUAUGAUGUGUGUGUGUGUGUGUGGUGUGUGUCUUUUGCUGACUGCAGUUAUUCCGCCUGUCUAGCAUCUAUAGUAGAUAUGUAAUCGAUCUAUGUGAUUCUGAACUGACGGUUCUCUGAGAAAAGCUCAAUGUGAAGUUAUGUGUUGCGGCUUGCUUUACCUGCCGCUACUCGUCUCUUUUUGCCGCCACACUCCCGCCAGCCACCGGCGGUGGCUUCUUCCGCCGCCUCCAGCGUCCAUCCUCUUCAUCCGCCGACGCAGCCAUCGGAAUCCCUUGCUACCUACUCUCACACGGUUUUUUUUUUUGAGACAAAACUCUCACACGGCUGUCCUCUCUGUUAGAAACUUAGAUGGGCUUUAGGCCCAUAUAUCAACUACUCCAUCUGUUUUUUCUAAAUAUAAGCCUUUUUAGAGAUCUCAAUGUGGACUAGAUAUGAAUGUAUACUUUUCACAAAAAAAAUAAAAUAUGAAUGCAUAUUUUUCGACAAAGGGAUAUAUUAAUACACAGAGAUACCAAUUACACCCAGCCUCUGCAACGAUGAAAUAUCCUAGAGACAUUGCGGAUGCACACAACCCAUAAACAAAAAAAAAAGAAAAAACAAAAGAUCUCGCUACAAAUGAUCAAUUCCUAGUAACUGUAGCACAAACCACCACCAAGACAACACCCCGAAAUUCAAAUUCUCCAAAAGCGAUGCAUCCAAGACGGAAACAGUGCACAGGUGUCGUCGUCACCCGAUCAUAUAUCUUAGAUUUUCACCCUCGAAAAAAUGCGCGCUCUCAAAACAAUGCCUUCAACAAGGUCACUGCUAGGCACAACCAAUUAAGGCGAGACCUUGGGUUUUCACCCCGAAAGCUAAAGACUCUGAACUCAUCCUAUGCCGCCACCCCCUCUUUGUCGAUGCCGCUGCUACGAGUCACGAAUCACCAAGCAAAUUCCUCAUCGCCUCGAAGACUAGAUCCGCCAUUACUAGACCUCUGACCUCAGCCACCAUGACGUUAUUCGCCAUUGUCUUCAUCGUGGAAAUCGAAAUACCGACAUGUUCCAUAAUGUCAGCAAUUAACGAAGCUUUGAGUCAAGCCCUCCUGAAGCCACACGAGCUGAAAUAUGGACACACAUGAUUGAAUCCCAUCCGAUCCAGGAAUAUACAGGCGCCAAGCACCUAAUGGAGAUCUCCGGCGGAGCCUUCCGAAACUCGUGAAGGGCCAAAUCAAUGAGGGUCGGCAUCAAGCAGAACACGGUCUUGGCGCUAGCAGAACCCUAGGACCGCCUCCAUUGAUUGUGCAAGCAUGCGCGGCCCCUUUGCCAAGCCUUGUGGCCUUCAGAUCUGGGCAGUAGCACACACAGAGAGACAAAGGAGCCUCAGCCAACAUCGAUUCAGUAGUGACCAGCGCACAACCAAGACCCACUGCCGCGUCCAGUGGCAGAGGACGAAAGUAUUUUGAGGUGGGGCGAACUCUUAAGCCAAAAAAAUAAAAUUGUGCACGACCAACAUAAAGAAUACGAUCAACAAUGAACAAUGCACACCAAUAUUUUCAUAUAAUCCUAAACAGAAUAGCCAACUAAAAUGAAAAUGCAAACAUACUUUAAAAAGACAAACAACCUAAAACAUACCCAUGCAAGUUCUAAUGGCGAGUGGAAGACCCGGGCAACGGUAGUGCCCUACCCUUCUUGUGAAAAUCUUCCUUAAUUUUACCAAGAUCAAGACUUUUGAAUAUCCCUCGUUCAAUGUAACACACCAUCAAGUCAUUAAGCCAGCCAUCGGACAUCUUGCUGCGCAACUCGGUCUUGAUGAUUUUCAUUGCUAAAAAAGCCCUUUCAACUGUUGUUGUCGCCACCGGUAGUAGCAAUGCGAGCUCAAUGAGGCGAUAAACCGUGGGAAACAUGAUGUGCCUUUCAAGUUCAACCAUCUUUUUAGCUAGGCUUGCAAUAUCAUGACAAUCUCUAAAAUCUUCAAUUCUUCUCAUAUGAAUAAUGAAUAGCUCAAGGUGAUCUCGUAUAUGCUCACGGUCAUAACUAGAGAAAUCCUCAUGAUAAAUCUCUGCGAGUCGAGCAAGCUUACUGAUAUUGAACCUAGAAAAGGAGUCUCUUGGGUCAAGACAAGAGAAGUUCUGGAGGAGCUCUGAAGAUACCUCAUUAAAACGAUGAUCAAACUCCGUGGUGAUGGAGUCUAUAGCAACAUAGAAGGUGUCCACACGGAAGAAAUGAUCAGCAGUGACAUUGUUUCUUCCACCUUUUCUUGAUUUCCCCCAUUUUGUGAAGGUGUCAUCCAUACUUGGUAUUGGAAUUUCAUUUUUGGUGCAGAAUGCUUUCACAUCUUCCAAGAGUGGCUCCCAACCAUCAUUUCUCCAAUUGAUCAAACGUGUUCUCACAUCUGUAACCAAUGAUCAAACGUGUUCAUUUUUGGUGCAGAAUGCUUUCACAUCUUCCAAGAGUGGCUCCCGCGCUCGGUGCUGCUGGCCGUCGAUCCCCUCGUCCUCGCGGCCUCGCUCCUGCUGCCGCCCAGGCGCGCCGCUAGGGUUGUCUUUUCUCUCGUGGACGACUAGAUCGAGCCAGGGCGUGGAGGCUUGGACGACUGGAUCGAUCGAUUGAGCGAGGCUGUACGUGCGCCUGUGGGCUGGUGAGGUUGGUUAGGCCGGCCCAAUAAGGUGUCCAUGUUAUAUCCCAGCCCAACAAAACGUUUGACGGUUAUUAUUAGCGAUCAGAUGAAUCCAUCGAUGUAUAUACGUAUACCUAGUAAAAAAAUUCCAAAAAAUCAAGGUAGGGCGAGCGCCCCACCUCGCCCUACCGUGUCCUCCGCCUGUGGCCGCGUCCCACCACCACUCGCCGAGCCCCGCCACCGCAUGUCGCCUGAAGGCUGCAGCCGUCGUGGCCACGGAGCAUCGCCGAAUCCCGUCGGGAACCGCCGCCAACGCUCAUGGGAGCCGCAAGAAGGAGCCCGCCACCACCGUCUGCCACACGGGCUUCGCCCGAAGGCUUCAUCUGUCGGCGGCGUGGGGAGAGGAGCAGAAGAGGCCGGCGAUGUUAGGUUGCGGGUGCCACCCCCGUGUCGCCCCAGGAUAGGGCGGAGCAGGGGUUAUGGACAUUCUCUUUGGGCGCCACAUAUGAAUGCAUACAAACGUAUUUUAAAAGGCAGAUUUACUCAUUUUGUUCUGUUUGUAGUUUGCAUUGGAAAGACUUAUAUUUAAAAACAGAGGGAGUAUUUCCUUAAUACUCCCUCCGUCCCAAAAUAAAUCUCACCUCUAGUAUAACUUUAGUAUGUUGUACUAGAAUUGAGACACUUAUUUUAAAACGGAGGAAGUAUAAAUCUGUCAUAGGCAUUUCUGGUGCCAUGGUAUGAGUGAGAGUUUAGUCCCACAUGAAAAGUGGGGAGAGUUCCAUCAACAUACAAGGAAAUUUCUUCUACAUCUCAUUGUAGCAUUAGAAAGGGAGUGAUGCCCGACUAAAAAAAGAGGAUGCAUGCACUCCUCCAUUGCUGCCUCGUGCAGAUGGGCAUUAUGUUCCGUGAACGAGUCAAACUGAUAUCAGACAUAGGUCAUUUCAGGGGAUUGAUACUCCUCGACACCUUUUGCAUAAGAGACUAAGACAUGAGUAUUCACUUAGCGAACAUAUUAGUACAUAUAAUUGUGUGUCAUCAAUACUAAAACAACACCAUGGGCCUAGAUGCACUUUCAAAAUAAAUUCAGCUUGGAAAUGUAAUCAAGUCUAUGCAUGGCGUAUACGAAUAUAAGAACUACCAAUCUAUAACAAUGGUGUCAUGUUAAAACCAAUCUACAAGGGAUGUUGUGGUCAAUUCUACAACCGAUGUUGUGGUCAAUGUCAAAACGUUUGAAGGGAUAGGAGUUGGCCACUCUACCCUAUCAGUCCUGCCCCUGUAGAAGGUUUGAAGGAGCUUUUUCCAUGAACAAAUGGAGAUUUUUGGUCAAUGUCCAACUGAUGUUUUGGUAAAUGUCCAAUCGGAUCUACAACGGAUGUUUGAUCAAAACGUCAUAACGUUUGAAAGAGUUGGCUACUCUACUCUGUCAGUCUGUAGCCAUUAUCGUUGCCGAACCCAAAGAGGCUUCAACGUCACUUCUUGUUGUUAGCUCCUUUCAAAUGCUACAUUGAAGGAAAUAUGCCCUAAAGGCAAUAAUAAAGUUGUUAUUUUAUAUUUCCUUAUUCAUGAUAAAGAUUUAUUACUCAUGCUAGAAUUUUAUUGAUCGGAAACUUAAAUACAUGUGUAAUAACAUAAACAAAUACCGUGUCCCUAGUAAGCCUAUACUAGACUAGCCCAUUGAUCAAAGAUGGUUAAGGUUUCCUAACCAUAGACAUGUGUUAUCAUUUGAUAACGGGAUCACAUCAUUAGAAGAAUGAUGUGUGAUACGUCUCCAAUGUAUCUAUAAUUUUUGAUUGUUCCAUGCUAUUGUAUCAUCUAUUUUGGAUAUUUUAUAUGCAUUAAUAUGCUAUUUUAUAUGAUUUUUGGGACUAACCUAUUAACCUAGAUCCCAGUGGCAGUGUCAGUUUCUGUUUUUUCCUUGUUUUAAAGUUUCGCAGAAAAGGAAUACCAAACGGAAUAAAACUUUCCCGACGAUUUUUCUUGAACUAGAAGACACUGUCGGCGUUCUAGGAACGGGGGUCCCCAGACUUGCCUGCUUGCGGCCUGCGGCGUGGCUCAAAGGGGGCCCAACACGGCCCAUCUUCAUCAACACGGACCCAAGACCCUCGCGAGGGGCCAAGCCUCGCGGGGCGGACGACACGGAGCUUCCUCAGGCACGGCCUCAUCAGGCUGGCUCGUGAGGAGGCGGAGAGAUCAAGGCGGGGUACCUCACGAGGUGCCCGUGACGCAAGCCAUGACGACCAAAGGCGUCAGGCGGGCGCCAGCCGCGCAGUGUCCUCCUUUCCUCUUUGGUGCAAAGGGAGCAAGCGCAGGCGAGAGCAUCAAGCAAAGGCACCCGUUUCGGUGCAACGAGACCAAGACCAGUCCAACGGCAGGGAGGAAGUCAUUGUGGAGCCCAAGCCAGCGUCACCACCAGAGCCUUUGGCAGGCGAGGACCAACUUUAGUCAGGAUAAGUGUACCAGAUGUUCCCCUUCAAAAUGGCCAAUUGUUGGCGCCCUUCCCGCUCAAUAUUUGGGAAGAGGCCCAGGGCCUUUGCCUAUAAAUAGGACUAUCCACCCCCAGGGUAGGGGGGGUCGAGAAUCGGCCAACCCAGAAACAAGCUGGGAUCGGAUCGAGUAGCAUCACACACAGAGAGAGAGAGAGAGAGAGAGAAGGGUGAUUGAACUCCUCCUAGCAGUUCAUCCCCACAGCCAAGAACAGACCCUCGCGAGGCUGUUCUUCCUUGUAUUGCUCAUCAUCAUCAGCCCAAGAGGCAAUCCACCACACCACACAUUGGAGUAGGGUAUUACACCACAACGGUGGCCCGAACGAGUAUAAACCCUGUGUCUCUUGUGCUGUUCUUUCCAUAGCUUAGAUCUUAGCAUGGCGGUGGGGCGCAGGUAGGUAAAAGGCGAAAUCUCCGCACGCACCCCAGUGUUCGAACCUCAAGGGUCUGCCGGAACCCGAAAUCCGACAUUUGGCGCGCCAGGUAGGGGUGCGCCGGAAUUCGUCUUCCACCACCCCGUUCUCCUCCGACCAUCGCGUCUAUGUCUGACGCUCGUCGGACCCGCGCCGAGCGCCGGGCCGCUCUCGCUUCCCGCGUCGCCCAGACGGCUCCUGUCGGCGGGCGUCCUCGCCGUUCCCCGUCACCUGCCGUCAACGCCGCCACCGGCCCGGCGGGGGACGAGCAGCAAACGUCGUCUCAGCAUCCGUCCGUGCGGCAAGACGGCCGCACCGCUACUCCCUCACUCACCCCAGCUGGUUCUUUGUCCCGCACGCUCCGCGCACCCAUGGAGGCUCGAGCUGCGCUCAUUGCGGCAAACGAGCUCUUGCGCUACCGUCCCGUCGACGACGUCUACGAAGAAUGGCUGGACCGCGUCGCCGAGCUCGUCCGCGCCACAGGGGGCUCUCCUGCGCUGCCCGUUCCGCUGCACCGCACCCCGCCCCGCACGGGCGACGAAGCUCCGGUGGCGCCCCCGCCGCCUCCUCCUCAAGAAGGCGCCAUGGCUCCAAGGCGCGUGGCCCCCGGGCGGAACCCGCUCCGUCAGGUGCCAGCGCGGGAAGAGCAGAACUGCCAAGAAGUCCUUCGCCCGCAAGAAGCUGCCCGGGCGCUCCCUGCUCCAGCACGUCGCGACCAUGCUUCUGCUCCCGCACGUCAAGACCCCGCGCUGCUCCCAGCUGCAGCGCGUGGGGACAUGCAAGACCAAGCUCUCCGUCACCCAAGGCCUUCCGUGGCCACAUCAGGCUGUCGUGCCUUCACCACCGAGCUACGCAGUGUCGCGUGGCCCGGCAAGUUCAAGCCAGACCUGCCUCCUCGUUACGAGGCACGGCCGACCCUGCGGAGUUCCUCCAGCUCUAUUAGCUGGGCAUCGAAGCUGCCAACGGAGACGAGAAGGUCAUGGCGAACUGGUUUCCCAUGGCGCUCAAGGACGGGGCCCGCACCUGGCUCCUGAACCUGGCUCCAGGCACGAUCUCCUCCUGGGACAAGAUGCGCACCCGCUUCAUCGCCAACUUCCAAGGCACUCGCGACCGGCCACCCGCCGUGAGCGACAUGCGCCGCAUCAAGCAACAACCCGGAGAGACCCUACAGAAGUACAUCCAGCGCUUCAACAACGCACGCCUCAAGAUUCCCAAGGUGACCGAGGAGGCCAUCAUCUCAGCCUUCUCCGACGACGUGCGCGACAUCAAGAUGAAGGAGGAGCUGACGAUGCAUGAAGACCUGUGCACUUCCUUGGAGUUGUUCAACUUGGCAACCAAGUGCGCCAGGGCUGAAGAAGGGCGUCUCUCCCUCCUCGAGCUGCCUGCCGCGGACCCAGAAGAGAAGAAGCCCAAGGCCAAGGAUGUGAAGCGCAAGGGGGAUGCCGUGCUCGCGGCAGAACCAGACACCAAGUGGGGCAGAGAUCAGCUCGAAUCUUCCAAGGGAAGUCGGUACUGUGUGUACCACGACCUCCACACCCACAACACCAACGAAUGUCAAGAGCUCCAACAAGUUGGCUUACCUUGUUGGGGGCGCCCCUCGGGCUGCAUCAUCCCCCAAGUCGCUCGGGUCAGACCCAAAGGCAUGUAUCCCUUUUGCGUUUAUUUCCGGCUAUGCGUUCGACCCACCAUGCUUGAUUAUUUGAUGCCUGUCCAUGGCACCUCUUCUUCUCCAUGCUGACCACUUGCACGUUAAAGGGGGGGUACCUGAGCAUCGCGACUCAGGGCUCUUGCUGGCUCUCCAGCCCUCACCCUCUGGCCUGGUCCACGGCAUCGCGGCCUGGCAUACCAGCGACGGCUGAGACCAACUCGAAGGCCGGGACCCGAGGACGUAGAGUGCCGGCAUCUAACCAAAUUUGCAGGGACACAUCACAAGAUAAGGCCCAGUGCCAAGUGCAACCCGCCUAGAGGUAGGGCCCCGUGAGUCCCGCGCUGGCUCACGGGUGCCCAGAUACACCUCGCCAGGCCCUACCGUGUCAGCCACAUGUCAGGGCGGGGCUGUACACGCCCCGGUGGGAGGACCAUGCUCCUCGCUGGCAGACGACACUGCCGAGGAGCGGCUAUGCCCAUACACAUAUGGAAGCGCUAUGCUCCGCGCUGGUGAUAAACAACUGAGGGCGGCCCUCGGGCCGCAUCAACCUCAGGGAGCCCAGAGCUCAGUGUCUAGCCUCAUCGUAACGCCUCCCCUCGGGAGUGCUGCGUGAGGGGGCUGGGCACGGGGGCUGCGCCUGGGUCACGCCCAGACGCACGCCACCCAGCCAGGCCCCCCCGGGCGCGCGUCCCUCCCCGAGCGGAGCCAAGGUACGAAGUCCGUUCGAGCGUCAAGGGGGACUCCUGAGCAUCGCGACUCAGGAGCCUAACUGGUCACGUAGCCCCUCACUCCUUAGUUCCGAAAGGCUAACGACGGUUGAGGUAUGCGCGCGGCCGGGCUCUGCAGACGUAGAACGGUAGAUCCACCCACAUCACACCUCCCUACUUGUUGUUCGUGCACCAAGGGGGACUCCUGAGCAUCGCGACUCAGGAGCCUAACUUGUCACGUAGCCCCUCACUCGUUGGUCCCGUCCUGGUUUCCGGUCGGGGCUAAUGGCGGCUGAGGUAUGCGCGGGGCCGGGCUCUGCCGGCGUAGAACAUAAGCAAGUAGGAAGGAAAAGCGUAAAUUUCAAGGAAUUCAAAAGCAAAUAUUACAGUCCACAUUGUUAUCUCAAUGCCAAACGCAAGUUUAAACGCCUCCCCGAGGCAUGAUACAUGUGCAGGAAUUAAAGGCAGGACAGGAGCCACAACGGAGUCACUUGUCGGCGGUGGAGCAGCGCGGAGUGGGUUCGCCUCAUGGAGCAGCGGGGUCGGCAGCGCCUUGCUUCGGCUUGGUGCUGAAGGCCCAGAACUUCCCUAGCAGGGCCUCCGCGCGACCCUUCACGGCCUCGGCAGCGGCAGCGGCACACUCGCCGCUUACUGGCUCCAGCAGGCUGUCGAGGUCGACGCCGGGAUCGCGAAGGUAGAUGUGGGUGAGGACCCGCGUCAGCGUUGCAGAAGACAGGACACGCACCUCGGCCUCGGCCGUGGGGCCAAGGCCAAGGGCGACAUCUUCAAGAGCGCGAACCAGGAAGGGAAGCAGCUUGGCGGGGCCGUCCUCGGCGCCAGCCAGUGGGCUCUCCAGGCCGCUGUCGUAAAGCGUCCUCAGCGAGGAGCGAGCCUUCGCCUCCAUCUUCGCGAAGGCCACGUAGUCCUCGACAAGAACCUGGGCCUUGUCGUCCAGCUCGACCUUCCUCGCCCCCAACUCCUGCUCUAGCGCGCCUAGGCGGUCGCGACGCUUCCUGAGCUUGGCCUCCCGGCUCUCGACGGCCGCCUCACAAGCCUUCACGCCUUCUUCCUGCUCUUGGCGAAGGCGGACCUCUUUCGUGAGCUGGUCCCGCAGGCCUUGCAGCUCGUCCUCCAGCGCCUUGCAGCGACCACAGACGUCAACCACCUCCCCCAGGGCUGCGUCACGAGCAGCCUUCGCCUCAAGGACGGCCUGCCUCUCCUCAUCGCAAGCCGUCGAGGCCUGGACCAGCGCCGCCCGAAUCGAAGCGUCGGAGCGAAUCCAUCCUGAAGCCAGCUCCAAGCGCCCAGCCACCAAGCGAGAGUCGGCGUCAAGAAGAUCCUGCCGCAGCCGGUCCAGCUCAGCAGCAGCACGAUCUAGAACGGCAUGAGGAGUCGGAGAGACAGCAGUCGAUGGAGUAGGAGGAGAAGGCGGCAGCGCGGCCACAGCAUCCCGAGGUGAAGCUUGCUGCGCCCCAACGGCUGUAGUGGCGGCAGCAGGCAAAGGUGCCUCGGGAGUCACUUGGGCCAUGGGGGCUGAGCUCGCCCCAGCCGGCUCAGUCAGGCCUCGCGAGGACGACCGGGCAGGAGAAGCCCGUGCGUCGCGGUCACCUUCCUUCGCGGGUGGAGGCGCUGCCACGGAUGGUACCUCAGGAGCUCCCUUCGGCCUCUUUGCUGCGGGUGCCAGCCUAUCCAAGAGAUGCGGACGUCAAGCCUCAGAAGCAGAACAAGAAAUAAAGACAAGAAUCAAGCGCUUACGGGUCGUCGCCAGUAAGCUCAAGCGGCCUCCGGCCAAAUUUAAAGCCUGAAAGCCGGCUAAAAGGGUCAACCUCGAGAAACUUGGAAGCAGAAGGCGCGUCUGCGGUUCGCCUCGGGGCUGGGGCAGACCCGCGGGAGAUCAGCCCGGUCCUGUCCUUCUUCGGGAUCGAGGGCAAGCUCCCGCCGUCCUGCUCGUCAUUAUCCUCGUCGUCAUCGCUCGGAGAGAGGCGGAGAACACGGGACCUACGCUGGGGGAGGGGAGCCCUCGACUCUCCGUCAGUCGCCUCGGAGUCAGGCCCUUUUCCCCGCUCCCCUCCUUCCUCCUCUUCGCUGGAGUCGUCGGAGGACACGUCCACCGAUUCCCCGGGAGUUUCCAUGGGCACGGGCCCGUCCCUGUUGAAGACGGGCAUGGACUCCACUACCUGCUCCCAGUCAUCGCGGAGGAACAAGGGCGUAGGAGCGCCCUCCAACCUCGCCACAUCGCCCCCGACCAGAGAUUGGAGGACCGCAGCCAGAUCUUCGUCGGCCAAGGCCACGGGGCUCGGAUGGGGCCUCCACAUCGGAAGUGAGUACUGCCGAAGCGGAGCCAGCUGGCGCUCCAGGAAUUCCCUCAGCAGCGACGCGCCGGUCAGCUUCGCCGCCGCCAUGUUGGCCGGCCUCAGAUCCGCGUCCAUCUUCUCCAACACCAGCUUCGCGUGGGGUCUGCGAGCUCCGCUCGGCCCCAAUCGCUGGAGCUCGUGGGUUUCUCCAUGGGCAAGAUCAGCCAAGGGUGGAUGCGCCCAGCAUCUGCCAAGACCCACUUGCUCCUGAAGCCCUCAAUCCUUUUCCCGGGGUUCGAAAUGGCAAUGGCACCACCGUACGCGAUGAAGCUCGUGCACGCGGAAGCGGGACCGCGAGAGGUCCGGAGGUAGAAGUAGUGGCGCAGCAAGGCCACCGAGGGCUGCAACCCUAUGUGAGCCUCGCAGUAAUAGGCGAAGAUUGCCAGGAGAAGGACGGAGUUGGGGUGGAGAUGCAGAGCCUGUAGCUUAUAAUGGCGGAGAACAGAGAAGAAGAACUCGGAGAAGGGAGGCACCAGGCCAGCAGCAAUGGCGCUCACAAAGAACGGAUAGAAGGUGCUCCCUUCGCCCUCAGGGGUGGCGGAGCUGGCCUUGAACACCUUCCCCCCGUCGAUGCCCUGCGCCGCCGCCAUCCGGCGCAACCGGGCGAGGCUCGCCUUAGACACGUUCGGCGAGUCCAGGGCAGACAAGUACCAAGCUCCGGUCGGGGACUGACGAGGCGCCAUGGCUUCCUAGGUCACGCGAUCGGAGUAGAUCUGGAAAUUUUGGAGGAAGGAAGGAGAGGCGCAAGAAAGGGGAUCUGAGCAGCAACCGGAGAAAGCAAAAAAAAAAAGCAAAGCCUAGGCAGAUGCCGCUCCCUUAUCAACUCGCACGGUUGCUGAGGCGCCCACGUCCAGUCAACCGCCACGCGGCGCCCAAGGCCGCAAGCUGUUAGGGCCCGCGGCGCUUCGCUCUUGCCCUUUCGCCUCCCUGCACGGCCAAGUCCGGGCGCGCCUUGGGCCCGGGGGCUACUGUCGGCGUUCUGGGAACGGGGGUCCCUAGACUUGCCUGCCUACGGCCUGCGGCGUGGCUCAAAGGGGGCCCAGCACGGCCCAUCUUCAUCAACACAGACCCAAGACCCUCGCGAGGGGCCAAGCCUCGCGGGGCGGAUGACACGGAGCUUCCUCAGGCACGGCCUUAUCAGGCUGGCUCGCGAGGAGGCGGAGAGAUCAAGGCGGGGUACCUCACGAGGUGCCCGUGACGCAAGCCAUGACGAGCAAAGGCGCCAGGCGGGCACCAGCCGCGCAGUGUCCUCCUUUCCUCUUUGGUGCAAAGGGAGCAAGCGCAGGCGAGAGCAUCAAGCAAAGGCACCCGUUUCGGUGCAACGAGACCAAGACUAGUCCAACGGCAGGAAGUCAUUGUGGAGCCCAAGCCAGCGUCACCACCAGAGCCUUUGGCAGGCAAGGACCAACUUUAGUCAGGAUAAGUGUACCAGAUGUUCCCCUUCAAAAUGGCCAAUUGUUGGCGCCCUUCCCGCUCAAUAUUUGGGAAGAGGCCCAGGGCCUUUGCCUAUAAAUAGGACUAUCCACCCCCAGGGUAGGGGGGAUCGAGAAUCGGCCAACCUAGAAACAAGCUGGGAUCGGAUCGAGUAGCAUCACACACACACACAGAGAAGGGUGAUUGAACUCCUCCUAGCAGUUCAUCCCCACAACCAAGAACAGACCCUCGCGAGGCUGUUCUUCCUUGUAUUUCUCAUCAUCAUCAGCCCAAGAGGCAAUCCAUCACACCACACACUGGAGUAGGGUAUUACACCACAACGGUGGCCCGAACCAGUAUAAACCCUGUGUCUCUUGUGCUGUUCUUUCCAUAGCUUAGACCUUAGCGUGGCGGUGGGGCGCAGGUAGGUACAAGGCGAAAUCUCCGCGUGCACCCCAGUGUUCGAACCUCAAGGGUCUGCCGGAACCCAAAAUCCGACAGACACCCAGGAGACUUGGAGUGCAAGUUAGAGGAGCCUCGAGGCGGCCACAAGGGUGGAGGGCGUGCCCAGGUGGGUGGGACGCGCAGCCCAACCUUGUGGGCCCCUCAUAGCUCCCCUGACCUAAUUCUUUCGCCUAUAUAUACUCUUAUACCCCAAAAACAUCUAGAGGAGCCAUGAAACCACUUUUCCACUAUCGCAACCUUCUGUACCCGUGAGAUCCAUCUUGGGGCCUUUUCCGGCAUCCCGCCGGAGGGGGAAUCGAUCCCAGAGGGCUUCUACAUCAACACCAUUGCCUCUCCGAUGAAGCAUGAGUAGUUUACUUCAGACCUACGGGUCCAUAGCUAGUAGCUAGAUGACUUCUUCUCUCUCUUUGAUUGUCAAUACAAAGUUCUCCUCGAUGUUCUUGGAGAUCUAUUCGAUGUAAUACUCUUUUCUGGUGUGUUUGCCGAGAUCCGAUGAAUUGUGGAUUUAUUAUCAGCUUAUCUAUGAAUAUUAUUUGAAUCUCCUCUGAAUUCUUAUAUGCAUGAUUUGAUAUCUUUGCAAGUCUCUUCGAACUAUCGAUUUGGUUUGGCCAACUAGAUUGAUUUUUAUUGCAAUGGGAGAAGUGCUUAGCUUUGGGUUCAAUCUUGCGGUGUCCUUUUCUAGUGACUGUAGGGGAAGCAAGGCACGUAUUGUAUUGUUGCCAUCGAGGAUAAUAAGAUGGGGUUUUCAUCAUAUUACUUGAGUUAAUCCCGCUACAUCAUGUCAUCUUGCUUAAUGCGUUACUCUGUUCUUAUGAACUUAAUACUCUAGAUGCAAGCAUGAGUCAGUCGAUGUGUGGAGUAAUAGUAGUAGAUGCAGAAUCGUUACAAUCUACUUGACACGGACAUGAUGCUUAUAUUCAUGAUCAUUGCCUUAGAUAUCAUCAUAACUUUGUGCUUUUCUAUCAAUUGCUCGGCAGUAAUUUGUUCACCCACCGUAAUAUUUUCUAUCUUGAGAGAAGCCUCUAGUGAAACCUAUGCCCCCCGGGUCUAUUUUCCAUCAUAUAAGUUUCCGAUCUACAAUUCUACUUUCCUAUUUACUUUCUUUUGCAAUCUUUUACUUUCCAUUCCAUAAACCAAAAAUAACAAAAAUAUUACUUUACCGUUUAUCCAUCUCUAUCAGAUCUCACUUUGCGAAUAACCGUGAAGGGAUUGACAACCCCUUUGUCGCGUUGGUGUUUGUUUGUGAAGGUAUUCAGUGUCUUGUUGCAUAGUCUCCUACUGGAUUGAUACCUUGGUUCUCAAAACUGAGGGAAAUACUUACGCUCCUUCUUCAAGGGAAAAACCAAUGCAAGCUCAAGAGGUAGCAAGAAGGAUUUCUGGUGCCGUUGCUGGGGAGAUCUACAUCAAGCCAAGACAUACCAAGUACCCAUCAUAAACUCUCAUCUCUCGCAUUACAUUAUUCGUCAUUCGCCUCUCAUUUUCCUCUCCCCCACUUCUAAAAUGAUUUUCGAAAAGAUUCGCCUUUUCUUCGCCUCUCUUUCGUUCGUCUUCUUCGCUUGCUUUUUGUGUGCUCGUGUGUUGAAUUGCUUGCUUUGUCAUGAUGGCUCAAGAUAAUACCAAAUUGUGUGACUUUUCCAAUACCAACAAUAAUGAUUUUAUUAGUACUCCGAUUGGUCCCGAUGCUAAUGCGGAAUCUUGUGAGAUUAAUACUGCUUUGCUGAAUCUUGUUAUGAAAGAUCAAUUUUCCGGCCUUCCCAAUGAAGAUGCCGCAUCCCAUCUUAAUAAUUUCUUUGAUUUGUGCGAUAUGCAAAAGAAAAAAAUGUGGAUAAUGAUAUUGUUAAGUUGAAGCUAUUUCCGCUCUCUCUUAGGGAUCGCGCUAAAACUUCGUUUUCAUCUUUGCCUAAAUAGUAUUGAUUCAUGGAAUAAGUGUAAAGAUGCUUUUAUUUUCAACUAUUUUCCUCCCGCUAAGAUAAUCUCCCUUAGGAACGAUAUUAUGAAUUUUAAGCAACUUGAUCAUGAACAUGUUGCACAAUCUUGGGAGAGGAUGGAAUUGAUGAUUAGAAAUUGCUCUACUCAUGGUUUGAAUUUAUGGAUGAUUAUACAACAUGUUCAUGAAAUUAUUCCGGAUUGAAUUUUGCUUCUAGAAAUCUUUUAGAUUCGGACGCGGAUGGAAAUUACUUUAGGAUAAGAUACUAAACUCCUAGAUAAUAUUAUGGUUAACUAUUCUCAAUGGCAUACCGAAAGAUCUUCCGCUAGUAAAAAAGUGCAUGCAAUUGAAGAUAUAAAUGUUUUGAGUGGAAAGAUGGAUGAGCUUAUGAAUGUUUUUGCUAGUAAGAGUGCUCCUAUUGAUCCUAAUGAUAUGCCUUUGUCUACUUUGAUUGAAAACAAUAAUGAAUCUAUGGAUGUGAAUUUUGUUGGUAGGAACAAUUUUGGUAAUAAUGCGUAUAGAGGUAAUUUUAAUCCUAGACCAUUUCCUAGUAAUUCCUCUAAUAAUUAUGGUAAUCCUACAACAAUUCUUAUGGAAAUUAUAAUAAGAUACCCUCUGAAUUUGAGAAUAGUGUUAAAGAAUUUAUUAGUUCACAAAAUAAUUUCAAUGCUUUGAUUGAAGAAAAAUUGCUUAAGAUUGAUGAUUUGGCUAGGAAUGUGGAUAGAAUUUCUUUUGGUGUUGAUUCUUUGAAACUUAGAUCUAUUCUACCUAAGCAUGAUAUCAAUGAGUAUCUCAAAUCCAUGAAAAUUUCUAUUGAUGAAUGCAAAGAAAUAACCGCUAAGAUGCGUGCUAAGAAAGAUUGGUUUAUAAAAGCGUGUUCUUCUAGUUUUCGUGAAAAUAAUGAUGAAGAUCUAAAAGUGAUUGAUGUGAGUCCUAUUGAAUCUUUGUUUUCCAAUAUAAAUCUUGAUAAAUAUGGGACUGGAGAUGAGUCAACUUUAGUUAGAAGGUGUCCCAAUGAUUUGGAAUUUUUAGAUCUUGAUGCAAAAAUUGAUAAAAGUGGGAUUGAAGAGGUCAAAACUUUAGAUAGCAAUGAACCCACUAUUUUGGAUUUCAAGGACUUUAAUUAUGAUAAUUGCUCUUUAAUAGAUUGUAUUUCCUUGUUGCCAUCUGUGUUGAAUUCUCCUCAUGCUUAUAAUCAAAACAAAGCUUUUACUAAACAUAUCGUUGAUGCUAUGAUGCAAUCUUAUGAAGAAAAGCUUAAUUUGGAAGUUUCUAUUCCUAGAAAACUUUAUGAUGAGUGGGAACCUACUAUUAAUAUUAAUAUUAAAUAUUAUGAAUGCUAUGCUUUGUGUGAUUUGGGUGCUAGUUUUUUUCAUGAUUUCGAAAACUUUAUGUGAUGUGUUAGGUUUCCGUGAAUUUAAUGAUUGUUCCUUAAUUUUGCAUCUUGCAGAUUCCACUAUUAAGAAACGUAUGGGAAGAAUUAAUUAUGUUCUUAUUGUUGCAAAUAGGAAUUAUGUGCCCAUAGAUUUCAUUGUUCUUGAUAUAGAUUGCAAUCCUACAUGUCCUAUUAUUCUUGGUAGACCUUUCCGUAGAACGAUUGGUGCAAUUAUUGAUAUGAAAGAAGGAAACAUUAGAUUUCAAUUUCCAUUAAUGAAAGACAUGAAACACUUUUCAAGAAAGAAAAUUAAGUUUCCUUAUGAAUCUAUUAUGAGAGCCACUUAUGGAUUGCAUGCCAAAGAUGAUAAUACUUAGAUCUAUUCGUGUUUUUAUGCCUAGCUAGGGGCGUUAAACAAUAGCGCUUGUUGGGAGGCAACCCAAGUUUAUUUUUGUUCUUGCUUUUUAGGUCCUGUUUUGAUUUGAAUAAAUCAUCCAGCCACUUUUUAGAUGUUGCUUUGUGUUUUAAUUAGUGUUUGUGCCAAGUAAGACCUUUGGGAUAGCUUACGAUGAUAGUUGAUUUGAUCCUGCUGAAAAAUAGAAACUUUUGUGCCCAGGAGAUUAGUUUUAAUUUUUAACAGAAGCGUGAUAAAAUAAUGAUUACUUUUGAAGAGGAUUAAUAAACAAAUUAUCUAGGACUUCCUGAUUUAUUAGAAUUUUUGGAGUUACAGAAGCAUUCUAAAUAUCCAGAUUGCUACAGAUCGUUCUGUUUUUGAAAGAUUCUGUUUUUCGCGUGUUGUUUGCUUAUUUUGAUGCAUCUAUGGCUAGUAUCGGGGGGUAUGAACCAUGGAAAAGUUGUAAUACAAUAGAUAUUACACCAAUAUAAAUAAAUAAUGAGUUCACAAUAGUACCAAAAGUGGUGAUUUAUUUUCUUAUACUAACGAAGCUUACGAGAUUUUCUGUUGGAGUUUUGUGUUGUGAAGUUUUUAAGUUUUGGGUAAGGAUUUGAUGGACUAUGGAAUAAGGAGUGGCAAGAGCCUAAGCUUGGGGAUUCCCAAGGCACCCCAAGUUAAUAUUCAAGGAUGUUAAAAAGCCUAAGCUUGGGGAUGCCCCGGGAAGGCAUCCCCUCUUUCGUCUUCGUCUAUCGGUAACUUUACUUGAGGCUAUAUUUUUAUUCAUCACAUGAUAUGUGUUCUGCUUGGAGCGUCUUGUAUGAUUUGAGUAUUUGCUUUUUAGUUUUCCACAAUCAUCCUUGCUAUACACACCUUUCGAGAGAGACACACAUGAAUCGUGAUUUAUUAGAAUGCUCUAUGUGCUUCACUUAUAUCUUUUGAGCUAGGCAAAAUUUGCCUAGUGCUUCACUUAUAUCUUUUUAGAGCACGACGGUGGUUUUAUUUUAUAGAAAUUGAUGAAAUAUCGUAAUUCACUUAUAUUAUUUUGAGAUACUCUAAACAACAUGGUAAUUUGCUUUGCUUAUAAAAUUAGUCCUCAUAAGAUAGGCAUCCAAGAGGGAUAUAAUAAAAACUUUCAUAUAAAGUGCAUUGAAUACUAUGAGAAGUUUGAUUCCUUAUGAUUGUUUUGAGAUAUGAAGAUGGUGAUAUUAGAUUCAUGCUAGUAGGUACUUGUGAAUUUGAUAAAUACUUGUGUUAAAGUUUGUGAGUCCCAUAGCAUGCAUGUAUGGUGAACCGUUACGUGAUGAAGUCGGAGCAUGAUUUAUUUUUUGAUUGUCUUCCUUAUGAGUGGCGGUCGGGGACGAGCGAUGGUCUUUUCCUACCAAUCUAUCCCCCUAGGAGCAUGCGCGUAGUACUUAGUUUUGAUGACUAAUAGAUUUUUGCAAUAAGUAUGUGAGUUCUUUAUGACUAAUGUUGAGUCCAUGGAUUAUACGCACUCUCACCUUUCCGCCAUUGCUAGCCUCUCUAGUACCGCGCAACUUUCGCCGGUACCAUAAACCCACCACACAUCCUUCCUAAAAACAGCCACCAUACCUACCUAUUAUGGCAUUUCCAUAGUCAUUUCGAGAUAUAUUGCCAUGCAACUUUCCACCAUUCUGUUUAUUAUGACACGCUCCAUCAUUGUCAUAUUGCUUUGCAUGAUCAUGUGGUUGACAUGGUAUUUGUGGCAAAGCCACCGUUCAUCAUUUUUUAUACAUGUCGCUCUUGAUUCAUUGCAUAUCCCGGUACACCGCCGGAGGCAUUCACAUGGAGUCAUAUUUAUUCGAAGUAUCUGUUGGAAAUAUGCCCUAGAGGCAAUAAUAAAAGUAUUAUUAUGAUAUUUCUUUGUUCAUGAUAAUAGUCUUUUAUUCAUGCUAUAACUGUAUUAUCCGGAAAUCGUAAUACACGUGUGAAUACAUAGACCACAAUAUGUCCCUAGUGAGCCUCUAGUUGACUAGCUCGUUGUGAUCAACAGAUAGUCAUGGUUUCCUGGCUAUGGACAUUGGAUGUCGUUGAUAACGGGAUCACAUCAUUAGGAGAAUGAUGUGAUGGACAAGACCCAAUCUUAAGCAUAGCACAAAGGUCGGUUAGUUCGUUUGCUAGAGCUUUUCCAAUGUCAAGUAUCUCUUCCUUCGACCAUGAGAUCGUGUAACUCCCGGAUACUGUAGGAGUGCUUUGGGUGUACCAAACGUCACAACGUAACUGGGUGAUUAUAAAGGUGCACUACAGGUAUCUCCGAAAGUGUCUGUUGGGUUGACACGGAUCGAGACUGGGAUUUGUCACUCCGUAUGACGGAGAGGUAUCUCUGGGCCCACUCGGUAAUGCAUCAUCAUAAUGAGCUCAAGGUGACCAAGUGUUUGGUCACGGGAUCAUGCAUUACGGUACGAGUAAAGUGACUUGCCGGUAACGAGACUGAACAAGGUAUUGGGAUACCGACGAUCGGGUCUCGGGCAAGUAACGUAUCGAUUGACAAAGGGAAUUGUAUACGGGGUUUGAUCGAAUCCUCGACAUCGUGGUUCAUCCGAUGACAUCAUCGAGGAGCAUGUGGGAGCCAACAUGGGUAUCCAGAUCCCGCUGUUGGUUAUUGACCGGAGAGUCUCGGUCAUGUCUGCAUGUCUCCCAAACCCGUAGGGUCUACACACUUAAGGUUCGAUGAUGCUAGGGUUAUUAGGAAGACAAGUAUGUGAUUAUCGAAUGUUGUUCGGAGUCCCGGAUGAGAUCCCGGACGUCACGAGGAGUCCCGAAAUGGUCCGGAGGUGAAGUUUUAUAUAUGGGAAGUUGUUAAACGGGCACCGGAAAGUUUCGGGGUCAUACCGGUAUUGUACCGGGACCACCGGAAAGGUUCCGGGGGUCCACCGGGAGGGACCACCCCUCCCGGGGGGCCACUUGGGCUGCGUAGGGAUAGCAGCCAGCCCCUAGUGGGCUUGGCGCGCCCCCCCUUGGGCCCAUGCGCCUAGGGUUGGGGGGGAAACCCUAAAGGGGGCGCACCCCCCUUGCUUGGGGGCAAGCCCCCCACCCUUUGGCCGCCGUCCCCCUCUAGGGUUUCCCCUAGAGGGACGGCCCCCUUGCCCCUCUCCUCCUAUAUAUAGAGGGGUGAGGGGAGGGCUGCUGUACACCACAACUCAAGGCGCAACCCCUCCCCUCCCCAACACCUCUCCUCCUCCGUACGUGCUCGGCGAAGCUCUGUCGGAAUACUGCUGCACCAACUGCACCACGCCGUCGUGCUGCCCUUGGAGCUGCCUUCCUCAACCUCUCCUUCCUCCUUGCUGGAUCAAGACGGAGGAGACGUCGUCCGUCCCGUAUGUGUGUUGAACGCGGAGGUGCUGUCCGUUCAGCACUUGGUCAUCGGUGAUCCGAAUCACGACGAGUACGACUCCAUCAUCACCAUCCCCUUGAAUGCUUCCGCACUCGAUCUACAAGUGGUAUGUAGAUGCAAACUCUUCCCCUUGACUCUUUGCUUAGAUGAACUCAUAGAUGGAUCUUGGUGAAACCGUAGGAAAAAUUUUAAUUUUCUGCAACGUUCCCCAACAGUGGCAUCAUGAGCUAGGUCUAUGCGUAGUUCUCUUUGCACGAGUAGAACACAAUUUUGUUGUGGGCGUGGAUCUUGUCAACUUACUUGCCACUACUAGUCUUUUCUUGCUUCAACGACAUUGUGGGAUGAAGCGGCCCGGACCAAGCUUACACGUACGCUUACGUGAGACUGGUUCCACCGAUUGACAUGCACUAGUUGCAUAAGGUGGCUGGCGGGUGUCUGUCUCUCCCACUUUAGUUGGAGCGGAUUCGAUGAAAAGGGUCCUUAUGAAGGGUAAAUAGAAGUUGACAAAAUCACGUUGUGGUUAUUCGUAGGUAAGAAAACGUUCUUGCUAGAACCCAAUUGCAGCCACGUAAAAGAUGCAACAACAAUUAGAGGACGUCUAACUUGUUUUUGCAGCGAUUGAUCAUGUGAUGUGAUAUGGCCAGAAGUUGUGAUGAAUGAUGAAUUGUGAUGUAUGAGAUCAUGUUCUUUGUAAUAGGAUUCACGACUUGCAUGUCGAUGAGUAUGACAACCGGCAGUAGCCAUAGGAGUUGUCUUUAUUUUUUGUAUGACCUGCGUGUCAUUGAAGAAUGCCAUGUAAACUACUUUAGUUUAUUGCUAAACGCGUUAGUCAUAGAAGUAGAAGUAGUCGUUGGCGUGACAACUUCAUGAAGACACGAUGAUGGAGAUCAUGAUGAUGGAGAUCAUGGUGUCAUGCCGGUGACAAGAUGAUCAUGGAGCCCCGAAGAUGAAGAUCAAAGGAGCUAUAUGAUAUUGGCCAUAUCAUGUCACUACUUUAUAUAAUUGCAUGUGAUGUUUAUUAUGUUUUAUGCAUCUUGUUUACUUAGGACGACGGUAGUAAAUAAGAUGAUCCCUUACAACAAUUUCAAGAAGUGUUCUCCCCUAACUGUGCACCGUUGCUAAAGUUCGUCGCUUCUAAGCACCACGUGAUGAUCGGGUGUGAUGGAUUCUUACGUUCACAUACAAUGGGUGUAAGACAGUUUUACACAGCAAAAACACUUAGGGUUAACUUGACGAGCCUAGCAUGUACAGACAUGGCCUCGGAACACGGAGACCGAAAGGUCGAACACGAGUCGUAUGGAAGAUACGAUCAACAUGAGAAUGUUCACCGAUGAUGACUAGUCCGUCUCACGUGAUGAUCGGACACGGGCUAGUCGACUCGGAUCGUGUAACACUUAGAUGACUAGAGGGAUGUCUAAUCUGAGUGGGAGUUCAUAAUUUGAUUAGAACUUAAUUAUCAUGAACUUAGUUUAAAACCUUUGCAAAUAUGUCUUGUAGAUCAAAUGGCCAACGCUCAUGUCAACAUGAACUUCAACGCGUUCCUAGAGAAAACCAAGCUGAAAGAUGAUGGCAGCAACUAUACGGACUGGGUCCGGAACCUGAGGAUCAUCCUCAUAGCUGCCAGGAAACAAUAUGUCCUAGAAGGACCGCUAGGUGACGCUCCCGUCUCAGAGAACCAAGACAUUAUGAAUGCUUGGCAGUCUCGUGCUGAUGAUUACUCCCUCGUUCAGUGUGGCAUGCUUUACAGCUUAGAACCGGGGCUCCAAAGCGUUUUGAGCAUCACGGAGCAUAUGAGAUGUUCGAGGAGCUGAAACUAGUUUUCCAAACUCACGCCCGGGUCGAGAGAUAUGACAUCUCCGACAAGUUCUAUAGUUGUAAGAUGGAGGAAAAUAGUUCUGUCAGUGAGCACAUACUCAAGAUGUCUGGGUUGCACAACCGUAUGACCCAGCUGAAUAUUAACCUCCCUGAUGAGGCAGUCAUUGACAGAAUCCUUCAGUCGCUCCCACCAAGCUACAAGAGCUUUGUGAUGAACUACAAUAUGCAGGGGAUGGUAAAGACCAUUCCUGAAGUAUUUUCUAUGCUGAGGUCAGUGAUGGGGUUAUGUACCUAGGGUAGGGUCAUGGACCUGAUCUAAGUACCUUACCCAAGGACAUCCUUAGAAGAGGUCGCCUUCCAGUCGACCGACGAGGACUCACUCGACUGGCCUGAAGGACUCGACUACGAAGACUCAUUCGACCACCAGGAGGUCAAUAGGCACUCUGCACUGCAACGACCUGUAAUCAAGUAGACUUUAUGAUAGUAAAGGCACUUUAUGUGGGGCGUUACCAGUAACGCCCCAGACUUAACUCACCUUAAACCCUCUCCUACGUGGGCUGGCUGGGGUCCUGGCGAACUCUAUAUAAGCCACCCCCCUCCACAGGCAGAGGGGUUCGGCACCUUGUAGUUCAUAUACUCAUAAUCCACUCGACCGCCUCCGGGCUCCGAGACGUAGGGCUAUUACUUCUUCCGAGAAGGGCCUGAACUCAUACAUCCUUUGUGUUUACAACCUCUCCAUAGCUAGGACCUUGCCUCUCCAUACCUACCCCCACUCUACUGUCAGGCUUAGAACCACGACAGUUGGCGCCCACCUUGGGGCGGGUGUUUUAGCGAUUUUGUGGAGAAGUUGCGAUUCUUCCGAGGACUUUCAUCAUGGUGUCUGCUGGAGUUUUGGUCGAGGGUCAAGAGAUCCGUCUCGGCACUCUCAUCUUCAUCGCCGACGACUCCGCAUGGCUCCAGGAGGCUCCACUCGACGUAGAUGCGCUCCCCGUCCGCGGUGCGACGCAUUUUCGCGCAUGUGUCCGCGGCGUUCUGCUGCGGCAACCGUCGACCCAGUAUCGGUCGGCUCCUCCAUCGUCCACCCUCCCGGUCUCCCGCCAGCGCAAGCGCUCGGGCCGGUCGAGGCUUCAGCGAUGGGUGAGGCACGCGGUGGCUCGCCAAUCGGCCACCACCCAAGUUGCGGCAAUCGAGCCCGACGAACCUCUCUACGGAUUGUUUGACCUGUCGACUGGCUCCGUAGAGACUGCAUCCGAGUGCGGUAGCAGUGAUCCAGCGGCGGAAAUCUUGAUGGUCGAUGGGCCCCACAGUCCCCCUGGCUUCGCCCGUGGUGGUGGAGCAGAUGACGGCGGCGACCCUACGCGAGGCUACGAAGAGUACCAACCCGAGCCACUCGACUCUCUGCAAAGAGAGGAAUUUCGCCGCAGGAACGAGGAUCCCCUGCGUAUUCCCAUCGCAGGAGAAACCCCCGAGGCUCGUGCCUUGGAGGAGGCGCGCCUGGCCAAUUUGGCCGAGCGCACUCGACUGGAGAACCUUCAGCGAGCACUCGACGAGCGCGCGCGGCAACGAGUUCCCGACACCAGUCGACGUCAACUCUUCCCGUCGACUCAGGUAUAUCGAACCCCAAUUCAGAAUUUAGCAGCUGCGACCCGUAUAGCAGAGUCCAUCCAGCCUUCGCAGUCGGAAGCUGGCAGAGGUUUGCUGCAGAUCAGGGAUCUGCUCCGGGCAGCAGGAGAUCAGAAUUCAGCCGUGUCUCAGUCGCGCAACAGAAUUCACAGUCGAUCUGUCACUGUGAAUACGGUUCAGUCGGCUCACAGCCCCAGAUCGCCUCCGUGGCGCGAAGGGCGCGAGAAUCGGCGAGAUCAAUAUGGCGACAGACUCGACCGAGAUGAUAGGCGUCGAGUGCCCUAUUCCCCUCCGAGGGGUGGGUCUUACGCUCCUCGGCAGCCAGAUGAUAGGCGUCAGUACAGUACAGGGCGUAGGGUUCCAGUUGACCCCAGAGAGCCAGGCUUCGACGCACGAUCCAUUAUCGUGCAAGGGUUGGUCGACCGGAACAGAGCCCAUCGAGGUGCACUCGACAGAGAUGUACCCACAAGCAGUCGAGUGCAUGUUUCUGGUCCUGAAUGUUUCAGCAGAGCUAUCAGAGCCGCAGUUAUUCCCCCCAAUUUCAGGUUGGCAACAGGAGUCAGCAAGUUCACUGGUGAGUCUAAGCCUGAAACUUGGCUUGAAGACUACCGAGUGGCAGUUCAGAUUGGUGGUGGGAACGACGAGGUGGCCAUGAAGCAUUUACCCCUCAUGUUGGAAGGUUCUGCCAGGGCAUGGUUGACUCAAUUACCUCCUAGCAGCAUUUACACUUGGGAAGAUCUGUCCCGAGUGUUCGUCAGAACGUUUGAAGGGACUUGCAAGCGACCAGCUGGAUUGACAGAGUUGCAAGUCUGCGUGCAGAAAGCUAAUGAGACUCUCAGAGAGUAUAUUCAGAGGUGGAUCACUUUGCACCACACUGUGGAAAAUGUCUCUGAUCAUCAGGCAGUCUGCGCCUUCAAAGACGGCGUCAAGAACAGAGAACUGAGUUUGAAAUUUGGUCGAACCAGUGACAUGACCUUGAGUCAGAUGAUGGAGAUUGCUACCAAGUACGCCAACGGCGAAGAAGAAGACCGACUCCGAAGCGGCAAGCACAAGCCGAGUCAGUCGGAAAAGGGAAACACCAGUCGGAAACAGAAGCGGAAGGCUGAACCGGCAGCUCCUGGAGAGGCUCUGGCCGUGACUCAAGGAAAGUUUAAGGGGAAACCAAAAGGAUCCUGGAACCCCAAGAAGGUAAAGGAUAAAGAAGGGAACGACGUGUUGGAUAUGCCAUGUCACAUUCACACGAAGAAAGACGAAGAGGGGAAUAUCAUUUACCCAAAGCACACCACUCGCCAAUGUCGACUCCUGAUCCAGCAGUUUCAGGGAAAACAGUCUAAAGACAAGGAGAAGGAGUCGGACAAGGCCGAAGACAAGGAGGACAGUGAGGGAGGAUAUCCACAUAUCAACUCCACUCUGAUGAUCUUUGCAGAUGUAGAAAGCAGAAGUCGACUGAAAGUGAUUAACCGAGAGGUGAACAUGGUUGCCCCAGCAAAGGCAAAUUAUCUGAAGUGGUCUCAAACACCCAUCACAUUCGACCAAUCUGAUCACCCGACUCAUAUUGCCACCCCUGGGAGGCAAGCUUUGGUGGUCGAUCCAGUUGUCGAAAGCACUCGACUGACAAAAGUGCUGAUGGAUGGUGGAAGUGGGCUGAAUCUGUUAUAUGCAGACACAUUGAAAGGUAUGGGCAUUCCGAUGUCCCAACUGAGCACUAGUAACAUGAGCUUUCAUGGAGUUAUACCAGGGAAGAAGGCCGAGUCACUCGGCCAGAUAGCUUUGGACGUGGUGUUUGGUGAUUCGAAGCAUUUUCGCAAAGAAAAGUUGACGUUUGAGGUCGUGGAUUUUCAAAGUGCAUAUCAUGCCAUUUUGGGGAGACCAGCCUAUGCACGGUUCAUGGCUCGACCAUGUUACGUGUACCUCAAAUUGAAGAUGCCCGGCCCCAAAGGAGUGAUCACUGUCACCGGUGAUAGGAAAAAGGCAGAGGAGUGCUUUCAGAAGGGCUCCAAGAUUGCCGAUUCCCAAGUGACAGCGGUCGAGUUCGAGGAGUACAAGCAAAACGCAGAUCCGAGUGAUUUGCUGCGAUCGAAGAAACCCGCUACAGAGUCUGCAUUCCAGUCGUCUGGGGAAAUGAAGCCUGUUCAUAUUCACCCGACCGACCCCGAUGCAGCUCCGACCCGCAUCUCCACAACACUCGACCCAAAAUAGGAAGAAGCGCUCAUCCAGUUCCUCCAUGAGAACUGGGACAUUUUUGCAUGGAAGCCCGCUGACAUGCCAGGUGUUCCCAGGGGACUGGCUGAGCAUCGCCUAAGAGUCGACUCGUCUGCAAAACCAGUCAAAGAGCAUCUUCGGCGGUCCGCCGUCCAGAAGAGAAAGGCCAUUGGUGAAGAAGUGGCUCGACUGUUGGCGGCAGGAUUUAUCCGAGAGAUAUACCACUCCGAGUGGCUCGCUAAUGUCGUCAUGGUUCCUAAGAAGGACAAGUCGCUCCGAAUGUGCAUUGAUUUCAAGCACAUCAACCGGGCCUGCCCGAAAGAUCACUUUCCUCUCCCUCGCAUAGAUCAAAUUGUUGACUCGACCGCGGGAUGCGAGAGGUUGUCUUUUUUGGAUGCUUACUCCGGGUACCACCAGAUCCGUCUGUACGGUCCCGAUGAGGUAAAAACAGCUUUCAUCACUCCAUUCGGGUGCUUCUGCUAUAUCACCAUGCCAUUCGGCCUCAAGAAUGCCGGAGCCACAUUUAUGCGAAUGAUUCAGAAGUGUCUACUCACUCAAAUCAGUCGGAAUGUGGAAGCUUAUAUGGAUGAUAUUGUUGUCAAGUCACGAAAAGGUUCCGACCUGCUCGCUGACCUCGCCGAAACAUUUGCCAACCUCAGAAGGUAUGAUAUCAAGCUCAAUCCAUCAAAGUGCACAUUUGGAGUUCCUGGUGGCAAGUUACUCGGUUUUCUCGUUUCCGAACGGGGAAUCGACGCUAACCCAGAGAAGAUUGGCACUAUUCUCCGAAUGAAACGCCCUGUGCGAGUGCACGAUGUCCAGAAGCUUACUGGAUGCUUGGCCGCAUUAAGUCGAUUCAUCUCACGACUCGGUGAAAAGGCAUUGCCUCUUUACCGACUGAUGAAGAAGGCAGACAAGUUCGAGUGGACUCCAGAAGCUGAUGCAGCGUUUGCUGAGCUAAAAGCUCUGCUCUCCACCCAGCCGGUGCUUGCUGCUCCAAUCAGCAAAGAGCCUCUGUUGCUCUACAUCGCAGCCACAGGACAAGUCGUCAGUACUGUGCUAACGGUCGAGCGGGAAGAAGAAGGAAAAGCUCUCAAAGUUCAGCGCCCAGUGUAUUAUUUGUCUGAAGUCUUGACUCCAUCCAAGCAGAGAUAUCCUCAUUAUCAGAAGCUUGUGUAUGGAAUAUACAUGACCACAAAGAAGGUUGCUCAUUAUUUCUCUGACCAUUCCAUCACAGUCGUCAGUGACGCUCCACUAUCAGAGAUUUUGCACAACAGAGAUGCAACUGGUCGAGUGGCCAAAUGGGCGAUUGAACUUCUUCCCCUUGAUAUCAAGUUUGAGGCAAAGAAAGCCAUUAAGUCCCAGGCAAUAGCAGAUUUCCUCGCCGAGUGGAUUGAACAGCAGCAGCCGACUGAAGUUCACUCGGAGCAUUGGACCAUGUUUUUUGAUGGCUCUAAGAUGUUGAAUGGUUCCGGUGCUGGGGUUGUCCUGGUUUCCCCCAGAGGAGAUAAGCUCAGAUAUGUGCUCCAGAUUCAAUUUGAUUCCUCCAACAAUGAGGCAGAAUAUGAGGCCCUCUUAUAUGGGUUGCGCAUGGCCAUUUCACUCGGCGUCCGUCGCCUAAUGGUCUAUGGCGACUCGGAUUUAGUGGUCAAUCAGGUGAUGAAAGAGUGGGACGUGAGAAGCCCAGCCAUGACUGGAUACUGCAGUGCAGUGAGGAAGCUAGAAAAGAAGUUCGAGGGGUUGGAGCUCCAUCACAUACCCCGACUGAAAAAUCAAGCAGCUGAUGAUCUAGCAAAGAUAGGUUCCAAGAGAGAAGCCAUUCCGAAUGGUGUGUUCUUGGAGCAUAUACACGCUCCGUCAGUCAAAGAAGAUCCUUUCACCGAAGAAACUACGCAGCCCAAGAGUGCCACAGAUCCGACUGAAGUUGAAGUCCCAGCGGUGGUCGACUUGAUCAUGGAGGUUUUGGUGGUCAUUCCCGACUGGACGAUUCCGUAUGUCGCAUAUAUCUUGAGGAAAGAGCUUCCGGAGGAUGAGGAAGAGGCUCGACAGAUCGUCCGUCGAUCUAAGGCCUUUACCGUAAUCAAAGGACAAUUAUACAGAGAAAGCGCGACUGGAGUCGGUCAGAAGUGCAUAACACCAGAAGAAGGUCGACUCAUCCUCAAUGAUAUUCACUCGGGGACCUGUGGUCAUCAUGCGUCCUCUCGGACCAUCGUGGCCAAAGCAUACCGAGCCGGAUUUUACUGGCCAAAGGCGAAUGAGAUGGCAAAAGAGAUAGUGGAUAAGUGCGAGGGAUGUCAAUUCUACUCGAAUAUGUCACACAAGCCUGCGUCGGCUCUGAAGACCAUCCCACUCGUCUGGCCUUUCGCAGUAUGGCGAUUGGACAUGGUUGGCCCUUUGAGAACAGGACGAAGUGGCUUCACGCAUGUACUGGUGGCAGUCGACAAGUUCACCAAGUGGAUCGAGGCUAAACCAAUCAAGAGCCUUGACACCGGUACUGUUGUUAGCUUCAUCAGAGAACUAAUAUUCAGAUAUGGAGUCCCGCACAGCAUCAUUACGGAUAAUGGGUCGAACUUUGACUCAGAGGAAUUCAGAACUUUCUGCAACUCCCAGGGCACACGGGUCGACUACGCUUCAGUCGCCCAUCCGCAGUCGAAUGGACAAGCAGAGCGAGCUAAUGGACUGAUUCUUAAGGGAUUGAAGCCUCGAUUGAUGCGUGAUCUCAAACACGCAGCUGGAGCUUGGGUCGACGAACUUCCCUCAGUUCUUUGGGGACUGCGGACCACACCUAAUCGGUCGACCGGAAGAACUCCAUUCUUCUUGGUCUACGGAGCUGAAGCAGUCUUGCCGAGUGAUCUUCUCCACAAUGCUCCUCGAGUUGAAAUCUACAACGAAGCAGAAGCUGAACAAGCGCGGCAGGACGCAGUCGACCUUUUAGAGGAAGAAAGGGAGAUGGCUCUGAUCCGUUCGACCAUCUACCAACAAGAUUUGCGCCGUUUCCACGCCAGAAAUGUGAGAGGUCGAGCCUUCCAGGAAGGGGAUUUGGUUCUCCGAGUGGAUCAGCACAAACCACACAAGCUUGCUCCUUCUUGGGAAGGCCCCUUCAUCGUCACCAAGGUCCUCCACAACGGGGCGUAUCGUCUUUACAACGUCGAGCAUAAUAUCGACGAGCCCCGAGCUUGGAACGCGGAGCUACUCCGCCCAUUUUACACUUAAGUUUUAUCACUCGGAUGAGUUGCAAUAAAGUACUUCUGUAGCUCAUGGACCUCAAAAUAAUAGUGUCAUAGUUCCUCCAUAAUUUCUGUCACUUUUUAUUUUUGUCCACAUAAAACUCCCCCUCAGUGGGUGACUUAGCUGCAGUCCAAGGACUCGCUAAGUUUAUCAAAAUCCUACCGAGUGGUAAGCCAGCCUUCCACUCGGAGGCUUAGCUGCAGUGCAAGCACUCGCCUAAGUUUAUCAAAAUCCUACCGAGUGAAGAGCAACCCUCUCACUUGGGGGCUUAGCUGCAGCCAUGUGCUCGCCUAAGUUAUAAAAAUCCUACCGAGUGAAGAGCAACCCUCUCACUCGGAGGCUUAGCUGCAGUCCAAGCACUCGCCUAAGUUAUAAAAAUCCUACCGAGUGAAGAGCAACCCUCUCACUCGGGGGCUUAGCUGCAGUCCAAGCACUCGCCUAAGUUAUAAAAAUCCUACCGAGUGAAGAGCAACCCUCUCACUCGGAGGCUUAGCUGCAGUCCAAGCACUCGCCUAAGUUAUAAAAAUCCUACCGAGUGAAGAGCAACCCUCUCACUCGGGGGCUUAGCUGCAGUCCAAGCACUCGCCUAAGUUAUAAAAUUCCUACCGAGUGAAGAGCAACCCUCUCACUCGGAGGCUUAGCUGCAGCCCUGUGCUCGCCUAAGGUAUAAAAAUCCUGCCGAGUGGAGAGCAACCCUCUCACUCGGGGGGCUUAGCUGCAGCCCAGUGCUCGCCUAAGUGGACUAAAGAAUAAGUCGAUUGCAGNNNNNNNNNNUAGCUGCAGUCCAAGCACUCGCCUAAGUUAUAAAAAUCCUACCGAGUGAAGAGCAACCCUCUCACUCGGGGGCUUAGCUGCAGCCAUGUGCUCGCCUAAGUUAUAAAAAUCCUACCGAGUGAAGAGCAACCCUCUCACUCGGAGGCUUAGCUGCAGCCCUGUGCUCGCCUAAGGUAUAAAAAUCCUGCCGAGUGGAGAGCAACCCUCUCACUCGUGGGGCUUAGCUGCAGCCCAGUGCUCGCCUAAGUGGACUAAAGAAUAAGUCGAUUGCAGUACAGGCACCUUGCUUUGAACCUGCAAAAGACAUUCCGAGCCGAAGGCAAUCGUAUUCAAGCACCAAAUCCAAGUUUGAAUCGACAUCUAAAGGAACCGAAAGUGCUCAGGCGUCAAGCCUGUUAAGGUUUGUCGGUUACAAUUCCACUCGGCAUACCGAGGCAAAUUUAAAGUGUCGAGCCAGAAGAAGUUUUUUACCCCUCCUGUGGAGGGCUGGAAGGUGCAACAAAUUCAUCAAGGUCAAUUCCGUCGGCGAUCCGAGUGGCAGCUGCAAGGAAAGUUUCCAUAAAGGACCUGAAGUCGUGCUUCUUGGUAUUGGCCACCCGAAGGGCCGCCAGCUUCUCUUCUCGCGCAUCUUUGCAGUGGACUCGGGCCAGACACAGAGCGACAUCUGCACCACACCGAGCCGAGGACUUCUUCCACUCCUGCACUCGACCAGGGAUCGUGUUCAAGCGGGCCAUCAGCGACUCAAGGUCAUUCUGAAGUGUCUCCUCAGGCCAGAGCGUCGAGUCGAUGCGAGAUGUGGCGGCCUUCAGCCUUGCGAGAUAGUCCACGACAGCUGCAACACGAGACUCCAGUCGGAAAACAUCCAUGGCAACUUCGUCGUUCACCGGAGAAUUGACGGGGUCGAGGUUUGGCUCCAGUGGGCUAGUUUCUUCUUCAAAGUUUUGACAAAAUUCUGCAAGGGUGAUCACUAAGUCAAGAGGAUGGUCGAAUGGAAAAAUCACAAUUGGAAAUGUCUGCCAAGCAUAGAGGUUUACCUUCAAGCAUAAGAAACAGCUUCUUGGCAAGGCCACUCAGGAAGGCCUCCAGUUCAGUUUUCUUCUCAGUCAAUUUGCUGACUUGGUCGGUCAGGGCAGCUUUAUCAGUUUUCAGUCGACCGACCUCCUUGUUGGCAAUCCCAAGAGCAGCUUUCAGAUUGGUAUUGUCUUGUUCAAGCUUGGUGACUGAAGCUAACUUCUCGUCAGCAAGCUUGAUCUUCUCAGCUAGCUCAAGGUCUUUCUUCUGCUGGGCCUCCCUUACCUUACCUGCAAGAUUACAGCAAGAUCAGAUUUUGAAGCAAGCAAGGGGAAAAGAAGUCGUCAAGGUCUCACCAAACAUACCUUCGGUCUCCUUCUUUGCCUUUGUCAGCUUCUCCUGAACCAGCUUCAAGCUCAACUCGACUUGAGUAUGCUUGUGUUCCAGCUCUGAGUAGCGAGUCACAAGAUCACAAGAGUUCUGCGAAGAACCAAUCGACUAAAUGUCAAAUAUAAUUCACUUCCGAGUGAAAAAGGGAAAAACACACGUUUCUAAGACUACAGCCGAAUACAAGCAUUCGACCGUAUCUCGGGGACUACACCCAGUGGGUGCACUCAGCGUGCCCCCACUAAUCCUGUUGAAGACAAAGUCGACCAGUCGACCUCAUAAAAAAAAAGUGCGAGAUGCAUUCUCUAAGACUGUGAUCAACUGCAAGCAGUCGACCACAGUCUCGGGGACUACACCCAGUGGGUGCACUCAGCGUGCCCCCACCGGUUCGUGAAAUCCAGUCGACCAGUCGACUGACAGAAAGAUUGACAUCAUAAAGCCUAAGGCCGACUGCCAGCAGUCGACCUUAGCCUUGGGGACUACACCCAGCGGGUGCACUCAGCGUGCCCCCGCUAACUCGGAGUUUAUUCGACACACCUAGUGGGUGACUACUAUAAAUUCCAGAAAGGAAAAGUUUUUGGUAGCAUAUCCAACAGAACAAACAGUGGUCGACUGACCUGGACAUUGCUUUGGAGGGCAGAGCUGGCGUCAUAAGCUGCCUGGCUCGCGUCCCGGAUGGUCUUCAGCUGCACCAUCAUGAGUCCCGCCUGGCGUAUUGCCUCCUUCGCUGCGCCAGCUUGGUCCUCUGGGAUGUGGUGCGUCGUGAAGAGGGAGGGCUGCUGAGCGCUCGUCAGUGGAUUUGCGAAGGACACCGUGUGUCGAGUGGUGUUCUCUUCCUCCACAGUCAGAAUCUCAGGCGCCGUCACAUCCUGAGGCACCUUACUGGCGGACGCUUUCCGACUCCUCCUGCGCUUCAGCGGCUCUUCAUCCUCGUCAUCAUCAGGAAGAUUGAUAACAGUAUUGGGCGGGGCUGCGGAGAAGAAUCAGGAUCAGAGAUCGCGAGUCAGUCGACUAAGAACGGCGUUAAGAAUACAGUACCUGGGUUCGAAGUUGCUGCGUCCUCCAUCUCAUGGUCAUCAGCCCGGGCCGAGGUUUCAGAAGUAGCAGCACUGCAACUCCAAAGGAUCGGUCGACUAACUUCAGCGUCGACCAGAGACAAAGUUCGCACAGAAUAAGAAAAUAUGAGCAGCACAGUUACCCUGAUAUGGUGGGGAUGGACACCUUCAUCUUCGGCAAGAGCUUGAUCGGCUUCGACGAGGCCGCUCUGGGCUGCUUCACCGCUUUCAGUCGGCACCGGAGAGGUGGUCCGAGGGCGCUUGGUCGACUGAGUGGUGGUCGCGACCCCCUUACCACGUUCGGUCGAAGGGUCGUGGACAAGCUUCGACCGCCUUUCCGAGCGCGGUGGUACGACCUCCUCCUCCUCUUCUUCCUCGUCCUCGACGUCGUCUUCAUCACCGUCAUCAUCAUCAUCGUCAUCAUCAUCCUCUGCAACAUCCGAGUCCCAUUCCUCCUCUUCCUGGCUCUCGCCCCCGCUCGCCUCGCCCUCCUCGGUCGAAGCUUGUGCCCCAUUGGGCAUCGAGUACAGCUCGGUGAGGGCCUAGCAGAUAUCAAGACAAGGAUCAGUCGACCAGUCGGCAGAGUAAACAUAAAUGAAUGCGACAAGAAUGCAGUGGAGAGCAGGGCGAGUGUACCUUUUUUGGAUCGCUGUUGUGGUCGAGUGGAGGAAUCCUUCUGGCUCCGCGUGGGUUGUCCUUGUUUCCGGUGACGGCUGCCAUCCAUCUUUCCAGAGUGACAUCGUCGACUGCCUCUGGAUGGACUCUAGUCUCGUCUUCGGUCCCAUAGUACAACCACAUGUAGUGGCUCCGGAACUGCAGGGGCUGGAUGCGACGCCUGAGGAAGACCUCCAGGAGGUCCAUGCCCGUCACUCCCUCCCGAACCAACUGCACCACGCGCUCCAUCAACAUCUUCACGUCAGCUUUCUCCUCCGGAAUCAGCUUCAGAGGAGAGGGCUUGUUCACUCGGUCCAUGCUAAAUGGAGGGAGUCCACUCGACUGCCCUGGCGUCGACUGGACCUGGCAGUAGAACCAAGUCAACUGCCAGCCUCUGACGGACUCAGGAAAGGUCAUGGGCGGGAAGGUGCUCUUAUUCCUCACCUGAAUCCCCAGACCCCCACACAUUUGGACGACUCGGGUUCUCUCAUCACCUGGGCUCGCCUUCUUCACGGUCUGGGAUCGACACGUGAAUAUAUGUUUGAACAAACCCCAGUGCGGUUGACAGCCCAAGAAACCCUCACACAUGGACACGAACGCAGCAAGAUAGGCAAUGGAGUUUGGGGUAAAGUGGUGGAGCUGCGCUCCGAAGAAAUUCAAGAAGCCACGAAAGAAAACACUCGGCGGCAAGGAAAACCCACGAUCAACAUGGGUGGCCAAAAGCACACACUCACCCUCUUCUGGCUGAGGCUGCCACUCCUUCCCCGGAAGCCUCGCAGCUCCGUGGGGGAUCAAGCCCUCGUUGGCCAUGUCGAGGAGGUCAUUCUCCGUGAUGGUCGACUGGAUCCAGUCUCCUUGGACCCAGCCUUUCGGCAGGCGGGAUCUGGACGAGGACCCUCCGCGGCUGGUGGAUCUCCCCUUCGCCUUCUCCGACGCCGACCCUUCUUUGCACGCUCCAGCGCCGCCGUCUUCUCCUUGGCCAUGGUCGCCGGCGAGAUGCGCGAAGGGAAGUGGUGCGGGGGCGAGAGCGAGCACGCUGGGCGGGGAAGAAGGAAGCAGAGAGAGGGGGAGAAUGCUGAAGCGCAGCACAGAAAUCCUCGCCGGGCACAUUUAUAAGGUCCCUUCCGAGUGGAUGACAGGUGGGCCCGUCGAUCUAAUCAUAUCUGGGAGCAGUUAUGCAGACGGGAUACGUGGCGAAAAAGGCGGCACGGAGAUCGAGGCAUCCAUGCCCCGUCCCAUCCGAACGCCGCGGUCCGCCCCGCUUCGCGCGCGUCCCCAAAUUUCGCAUCCCGCGGAAUCCGCGAACAGCUAAUCAGUCUGUCAGACGCGGUGUUUCCGGCGAUCCGUCGCUCAGAGAUCAUCGAAGCUUGAAAUAUCACUCGACGCAAAAACAGAAUGGAUCGAGUCGACUGAAGGCAAGUUGCUUCCUGUCGACGAAGAGAUUCUUUGGUCCAGGACGACGCACGACCAGAACACAAAGGUUAAUCGGAAACAACAUCAACUCCUUCCUCACUCGAAGCCUCAAUCCAUUCGGGGGCUAAUGAUGGGGUUAUGUACCUAGGGUAGGGUCAUGGACCUGAUCUAAGUACCUUACCCAAGGACAUCCUUAGAAGAGGUCGCCUUCCAGUCGACCAACGAGGACUCACUCGACUGGCCUGAAGGACUCGACUACGAAGACUCAUUCGACCACCAGGAGGUCAAGAGGCACUCUGCACUGCAACGGCCUGUAAUCAAGUAGACUUUAUGAUAGUAAAGGCACUUUAUGUGGGGCGUUACCAGUAACGCCCCAGACUUAACUCACCUUAAACCCUCUCCUACGUGGGCUGGCUGGGGUCCUAGCGAACUCUAUAUAAGCCACCCCCCUCCACAGGCAGAGGGGUUCGGCACCUUGUAGUUCAUAUACUCAUAAUCCACUCGACCGCCUCCGGGCUCCGAGACGUAGGGCUAUUACUUCUUCCGAGAAGGGCCUGAACUCGUACAUCCUUUGUGUUUACAACCUCUCCAUAGCUAGGACCUUGCCUCUCCAUACCUACCCCCACUCUACUGUCAGGCUUAGAACCACGACAGUCAGCAGAGGUUGAAAUCAAGAAAGAACAUCAAGUGUUGAUGGUCAAUAAGACCACUAAGUUCAAGAAGGGCAAGGGUAAGAAGAACUUCAAGAAGGACGGCAAAGAGGUUGCCGCGCCCGGUAAGCCAGUUGCCGAGAAGAAAUCAAAGAAUGGACCCAAGCCUGAGACUGAGUGCUUUUAUUGCAAGGGGAAGGGUCACUGGAAGCGGAACUGCCCCAAAUACUUAGCGGAUAAGAAGGCCGGCAACACAAAAGGUAUAUUCGAUAUACAUGUAAUUGAUGUGUACCUUACCAGUACUCAUAGUAACUCCUGGGUAUUUGAUACCGGUGCCGUUGCUCAUAUUUGUAACUCACAGCAGGAGCUGCGGAAUAAGCGGAGACUGGCAAAGGACGAGGUGACGAUGCGCGUCGGGAAUGGUUCCAGAGUCGAUGUGAUCGCCGUCGGCACGCUGCCUCUACAUUUACCUACGGGAUUAGUUUUGAACCUUAAUAAUUGUUAUUUGGUGCCAAGUUUGAGCAUGAACAUUGUAUCUGGAUCUCGUUUAAUACGAGAUGGCUACUCAUUUAAGUCUGAGAAUAAUGGUUGUUCGAUUUAUAUGAGAGAUAUGUUUUAUGGUCAUGCUCCGAUGGUCAAUGGUUUAUUCUUAAUGAAUCUCGAACGUAGUGUUACACAUAUUCAUAGCGUGAAUACCAAAAGAUGUAAAGUUGAUAACGAUAGUCCCACAUACUUGUGGCACUGCCGCCUUGCUCACAUUAGUGUCAAGCGCAUGAAGAAGCUCCAUGCUGAUGGACUUUUAGAGUCUCUUGAUUAUGAAUCAUUUGACACAUGCGAACCAUGCCUCAUGGGCAAGAUGACCAAGACUCCGUUCUCCGGAACAAUGGAGCGAGCAACCAACUUGUUGGAAAUCAUACAUACCGAUGUGUGCGGUCCAAUGAGCAUUGAGGCUCGCGGAGGAUAUUGUUAUGUUCUCACUCUCACUGAUGACUUAAGUAGAUAUGGGUAUGUCUACUUAAUGAAACACAAGUCUGAGACCUUUGAAAAGUUCAAGGAAUUUCAGAAUGAGGUAGAGAAUCAACGUGACUGAAAGAUAAAAUUCCUACGAUCAGAUCGUGGAGGAGAAUACUUAAGUCACGAAUUUGGUACACACUUAAGGAAAUGUGGAAUCGUUUCACAACUCACGCCGCCUGGAACACCUCAACAUAACGGUGUGUCCGAACGUCGUAAUCGCACUCUAUUGGAUAUGGUGCGGUCUAUGAUGUCUCUUACCGAUUUACCGCUAUCAUUUUGGGGAUACGCUCUAGAGACAGCUACAUUCACUUUAAAUAGGGCACCAUCUAAAUCCGUUGAGACGACACCGUAUGAAUUAUGGUUUGGGAAGAAACCUAAGCUGUCGUUUCUGAAUGUUUGGGGAUGCGAUGCUUAUGUCAAGAAACUUCAACCUGAGAAGCUUGAACCCAAGUCGGAAAAAUGCGUCUUCAUAGGAUACCCUAAGGAAACCAUUGGGUAUACCUUAUACUUAAGAUCCGAGGGCAAGAUCUUUGUCGCUAAGAACGGAUCCUUUCUGGAAAAAGAGUUUCUCUCGAAAGAAGUAAGUGGGAGGAAAGUAGAACUCGAUGAAGUAGUACCUCUUGAGCGGAACAGUAGUGCAGCUCAGGAAGAUGUUCCUGUGAUGCCUACACCAACUGAAGAGGAAAAUAAUGAUGAUGAUCAAGGUACUCCGGAUCAAGUUGCUACUGAACUUCGUAGGUCCACAAGGAUACGUUCCGCACCAGAGUGGUACGGCAACCCUGUCCUAGAAAUCAUGUUGUUAGACAACGGUGAACCUUCGAACUAUGAAGAAGCGAUGGCGGGCCCAGAUUCCAACAAAUGGCUAGAAGCCAUGAAAUCCGAGAUAGAAUCCAUGUAUGAAAACAAAGUAUGGACUUUGACUGACUUGCCCAAUGAUCGGCGAGCGAUAGAAAACAAAUGGAUCUUUAAGAAGAAGACGGACGUGGAUGGAAAUGUCACCAUCUAUAAAGCUCGACUUGUCGCUAAGGGUUAUCGACAAGUUCAAGGGAUUGACUACGAUGAGACUUUCUCUCCCGUAGCGAAGCUUAAGUCCGUCCAAAUCAUGUUAGCAGUUGCCGCAUACUAUGAUUAUGAGAUAUGGCAGAUGGACGUCAAAACGACAUUCCUUAACGGGCAUCUUAAGGAAGCGCUGUAUAUGAUACAACCGGAAGGUUUUGUCGAUCCUAAGAACGCUAACAAAGUAUGCAAGCUCCAGCGAUCCAUUUAUGGGCUGGUGCAAUCAUCUCGGAGUUGGAAUAUUCGCUUUGAUGAGAUGAUCAAAGCGUUUGGGUUUAUGCAGACUUAUGGAGAAGCCUGCGUUUACAAGAAAGUGAGUGGGAGCUCUGUAGCAUUUCUCAUAUUAUAUGUAGAUGACAUACUCUUGAUGGGAAAUAAUAUAGAAUUUCUGGACAUCAUUAAGGCCUACUUGAAUAAGUGUUUUUCAAUGAAGGACCUUGGAGAAGCUGCUUAUAUAUUAGGCAUCAAGAUCUAUAGAGAUAGAUCAAGACGCCUCAUAGGUCUUUCACAAAGCACAUACCUUGAUAAGAUUUUGAAAAGGUUCAAAAUGGAUCAGUCCAAGAAAGGGUUCUUGCCUAUGUUACAAGGUGUGAGAUUGAGCUCGGCUCAGUCACCGACCACGGCAAAAGAUAAAGAAGAGAUGAGUCUCAUCCCCUAUGCUUCAGCCAUAGGAUCUAUUAUGUAUGCCAUGCUGUGUACCAGACGUGAUGUAAACCUUGCCGUGAGUUCGGUAGCAAGAUACCAAGGUAAUCCCGGCAAGGAACACUGGACAGCGGUCAAGAAUAUCCUGAAGUACCUGAAAAGGACAAAGGACAUGUUUCUCGUUUAUGGAGGAGACGAAGAGCUCGUCGUAAAGGGUUACGUCGACGCUAGCUUCGACUCAGAUCCGGAUGACUCUAAGUCACAAACCGGAUACGUGUAUAUGUUGAAUGGUGGAGCAGUAAGCUGGUGCAGCUGCAAGAAGAGCGUCGUGGCGGGAUCUACAUGUGAAGCGGAGUACAUGGCAGCCUCGGAGGCAGCGCAUGAAGCUAUUUGGGUGAAGGAGUUCAUCACCGACCUAGGAGUCAUACCCAAUGCGUCGGGGCCGAUCAAACUUUUCUGUGACAAUACUGGAGCUAUUGCCCUUGCGAAGGAGCCCAGAUUUCACAAGAAGACCAGGCACAUCAAGCGUCGUUUCAACUCCAUCCGUGAAAAUGUUCAAGAUGGAGACAUAGAAAUUUGCAAAGUACAUACGGAUCUGAAUGUCGUAGAUCCGUUGACUAAACCUCUCUCGCGAGCGAAACAUGAUCAACACCAGAACUCUAUGGGUGUUCGAUUCAUCACAAUGUAACUAGAUUAUUGACUCUAGUGCAAGUGGGAGACCGUUGGAAAUAUGCCCUAGAGGCAAUAAUAAAAGUAUUAUUAUUAUAUUUCUUUGUUCAUGAUAAUAGUCUUUUAUUCAUGCUAUAACUGUAUUAUCCGGAAAUCGUAAUACACGUGUGAAUACAUAGACCAGAAUAUGUCCCUAGUGAGCCUCUAGUUGACUAGCUCGUUGUGAUCAACAGAUAGUCAUGGUUUCCUAGCUAUGGACAUUGGAUGUCGUUGAUAACGGGAUCACAUCAUUAGGAGAAUGAUGUGAUGGACAAGACCCAAUCUUAAGCAUAACACAAAGGUCGGUUAGUUCGUGUGCUAGAGCUUUUCCAAUGUCAAGUAUCUCUUCCUUCGACCAUGAGAUCGUGUAACUCCCGGAUACCGUAGGAGUGCUUUGGGUGUACCAAACGUCACAACAUAACUGGGUGAUUAUAAAGGUGCACUACAGGUAUCUCCGAAAGUGUCUGUUGGGUUGACACGGAUCGAGACUGGGAUUUGUCACUCCGUAUGACGGAGAGGUAUCUCUGGGCCCACUCGGUAAUGCAUCAUCAUAAUGAGCUCAAGGUGACCAAGUGUUUGGUCACGGGAUCAUCCAUUACGGUACUAGUAAAGUGACUUGCCGGUAACGAGACUGAACAAGGUAUUGGGAUACCGACGAUCGGGUCUCGGGCAAGUAACGUACCGAUUGACAAAGGGAAUUGUAUACGGGAUUUGAUCGAAUCCUCGACAUCGUGGUUCAUCCAAUGACAUCAUCGAGGAGCAUGUGGGAGCCAACAUGGGUAUCCAGAUCCCGCUGUUGGUUAUUGACCGGAGAGUCUCGGUCAUGUCUGCAUGUCUCCCGAACCCGUAGGGUCUACACACUUAAGGUUCGAUGACGCUAGGGUUAGCAGGAAGACAAGUAUGUGAUUACUGAAUGUUGUUCGGAGUCCCGAAUGAGAUCCCGGACGUCAUGAGGAGUCCCGGAAUGGUUCGGAGGUAAAGUUUUAUAUAUGGGAAGUUGUUAAACGGGCACCGGAAAGUUUCGGGGUCAUACCGGUAUUGUACCGGGACCACCGGAAAGGUUCCGGGGGUCCACCGGGAGGGACCACCCCUCCCGGGGGGCCACUUGGGCUGCGUAGGGAUAGCAGCCAGCCCCUAGUGGGCUGGGCGCGCCCCCCCCUUGGGCCCAUGCGCCUAGGGUUGGGUGGGAAACCCUAAAGGGGGCGCACCCCCCUUGCUUGGGGGCAAGCCCCCCACCCUUUGGCCGCCGCCCCCCUCUAGGGUUUCCCCUAGAGGGCCGGCCCCCUUGCCCCUCUCCUCCUAUAUAUAGAGGGGUGAGGGGAGGGCUGCUGUACACCACAACUCAAGGCGCAGGCCUUCCCCUCCCCAACACCUCUCCUCCUCCGUACGUGCUCGACGAAGCUCUGUCGGAAUACUGCUGCACCAACUGCACCACGCUGUCGUGCUGCCCUUGGAGCUGCCUUCCUCAACCUCUCCUUCCUCCUUGCUGGAUCAAGACGGAGGAGACGUCAUCCGUCCCGUACGUGUGUUGAACGCGGAGGUGCUGUCCGUUCAGCACUUGGUCAUCGGUGAUCCGAAUCACGACGAGUACGACUCCAUCAUCACCAUCCCCUUGAAUGCUUCCGCACUCGAUCUACAAGUGGUAUGUAGACGCAAACUCUUCCCCUUGACUCGUUGCUUAGAUGAACUCAUAGAUGGAUCUUGGUGAAACCGUAGGAAAUUUUUUAAUUUUCUGCAAUGUUCCCCAACAGUAUCGAGUUGUAAUUCUUGAGUUGUAAGUAAAUAAAAGUGUGAUGAUCUUCAUUAUUAGAGCAUUAUCCCAUGUGAGGAAAGGAUGAUGGAGACUAUGAUUCCCCCACAAGUUGGGAUGAGACUCUGGACGAAAAAAAGAGGCCAAAAAAAUGAGAGAAGGCAGAAAUAAAAAAAAAUAGAAAAAGAGAGAAGGGACAAUAUUACUAUCCUUUUUACCACACUUGUGCUUCAAAGUAGCACCAUGAUCUUCAUGAUAGAGAGUCUCCUAUGAUAUCACUUUCAUAUACUAGUGGGAAAUUUUCAUUAUGGAACUUGGCUUUUAUAUUCCAAUGAUGGGUUUCCUCAAAUUGCCAUAGGUCUUCAUGAACAAGCGAGUUGGAUGCACACCCACUUAGUUUGUUUUCGAGCUUUCAUAAACUUAUAGCUCUAGUGCAUCCGUUGCAUGGCAAUCCCUACUCACUCACAUUGAUAACUAUUAAUGGGCAUCUCCAUAGCCCGUUGAUAUGCCUAGUUGAUGUGAGACUAUCUCCUUCUUUUUGUCUUCUCCAAAACCACCGUCUAUUCCACCUAUAGUGUUAUAUCCGUGGCUCACGCUCAUGUAUUGCGUGAAAGUUUGAAAAAGUUUGGGAACAUCAAAAGUAUGAGACAAUUGCUUGGCUUGUCAUCGGGGCUGUGCAUGAUUUAAAUAUUUUGUGUGAUGAAGAUGGAGCAUAGCCAGACUAUAUGAUUUUGUAGGGAUAAGCUUUCUUUGGCCAUGCUAUUUUGAGAAGACAUAAUUAUUUUGUUAGUAUGCUUGAAGUAUUAUUAUUUUUAUGUCAAUAUUAAACUUUUGUUUUGAAUCUUACGGAUCUGAACAUUUCUGCCACAAUAAAGAGAAUUAUAUGAAUAAAUAUGUUAGGUAGCAUUCCAUACCAAAAAUUCUGUUUUUAUCAUUUAUCUACUCGAGGAUGAGCAGGAAUUAAGCUUGGGGAUGCUUGAUACGUCUCCAACGUAUCUAUAAUUUUUUAUUGUUCCAUGCUAUUAUAUUAUCUGUUUUGGAUGUUUUAUGUGCAUUAAUAUGCUAUUUUAUAUGAUUUUGGGGACUAACCUAUUAAUCUAGAGCCCAGUGCCAGUUUCUGUUUUUCCUUGUUUUAGAGUUUCACAGAAAAGGAAUACCAAACGGAGUCCAAAUGGAUAAAACUUUCACGAUGAUUUUUCUUGGACCAGAAGACACCCAUGAGACUUGGAGUGCAAGUCAAAGGAGCCUCGAGGCCACCACAAGGGUGGAGGGCGCGCCCAGGGGGUGGGGCGCGAACCCCGACCUUGUGGGCCCCUCAUAGUGGAAAUAUGCCCUAGAGGCAAUAAUAAAGUUGUUAUUUAUAUUUCCUUAUAUCAGGAUAAAUGUUUAUUAUUCAUGCUAUAAUUGUACUAACUGGAAACUUAGUACAUGUGUGAAUACAUAGACAAACAGAGUGUCACUAGUUUGCCUCUACUUGACUAGCUCGUUAAUCAAAGAUGGUUAAGUUUCCUAGCUAUGGACCAAAAGUUGUCAUUUGAUAAACGGGAUCACAUCAUUAGAGAAUGAUGUCAUUGACUUGACCCAUCCGUUAGCUUAGCACGAUGAUUAUUUAGUUUACUACUAUUGCUUUCUCCAUAACUUAUACAUGUUCCUAUGACUAUGAGAUUAUGCAACUCCCGAACACCGGAGGAACACUUAGUGUGCUAUCAAACAUCACAACGUAACUGGGUGACUAUAAAGAUGCUCUAAAGGUGUCUCCGAUGGUGUUUGUUGAGUUGGCACAGAUCGAGAUUAGGAUUUGUCACUCCGUGUAUCGGAGAGGUAUCUCUGGGCCUUCUCGGUAAUGCACAUCACUAUAAGCCUUGCAAGCAAUGUGACAGUCGGUGUCAAAAUCGGCGGAUCUCGGGUAUGGGGUCCCGAAUUGUGCGUCUAGGCCGGAUGGUAACAGGAGGCAAGGGACACGAAGUUUUACCCAGGUUUGGGCCCUCUUGAUGGAGGUAAAACCCUACGUCCUGCUUGAUUAAUAUUGAUGAUAUGGGUGUUACAAGAGUAGAUCUACCACGAGAUCAGAGAGGCUAAACCCUAGAAGCUAGCCUAUGGUAUGAUUGUAUGUUAUGAUUGUUGUCCUACGGACUAAAACCCUUCGGUUUAUAUAGACACCGGAGAGGGUUAGGGUUACACAAGGUCGGUUACAAAGGAGGAGAUAUCCAUAUACGUAUUGCCUAGCUUGCCUUCCACGCCAAGUAGAGUCCCAUCCGGACACGAGACGAAGUCUUCAAUCUUGUAUCUUCAUAGUCUAACAGUCCGGCCAAUGGAGAUAGUCCGGCUGUCCGGAGACCCCCUAAUCCAGGACUCCCUCAGUAGCCACUGAACCAGGCUUCAAUGACGAUGAAUCCGGCGCGUAGUUGUCUUCGGCAUUGCAAGGCGGGUUCCUUCUCCGAAUACAUCAUAGAAUAAUUUGAAUACGAGGAUAGUGUCCGACCCUGCAAAAUAAGUUCCACAUUCCACCGUAGAGAGAAUAAUGUUUUCGCAGAUCUAAUUUGCUAGCUUGUUUCGGCAGCAUGGCGUUAUGUCAUGGCCCGGUGAUUAUUGGAACCGUUUCUUUUAACCAGCCCCGCACAUAAUGCGAGGCAGUUUUUCGACACGUCUUGUCAAAGCAGAGAUCGUGUCCCCUUAUUACGGGAUUCUCAUCAAUACGGGCGUGGGUAACCCAACCGCGCCAUCAAUUGCGGCGCUUGCAGGAUAAGCGAGUUUUAUCAGGCAAGUGGGGACGCUUAAUUUUGUCCGCCCAUAUAAAGGGAUAAGGAUUCACCUUUCUAUCCACGCCUUCUUCCUCCUCUGCUCAUCUGCUCCUGCACACUCGAGCUCUAGUGCCCAAGCUCUCACUUCCAUCUCAACCUUCUCCAACCAUGUCCGGAGCGGGAGGCAAGUGGAUGGUCUCCUCCGUCACAGAGGGAGACGUCAAGAAACUGAGGAGAGCCGGAUACCUGCCCGACAACAUCGUGUACCGGCUCCCAGAUGAGGGACAACUCAUCCCCACCCCGAGCCCCAUGAGAGGGUGGUAUUCCUCACCCAUUUCCUCUGCGGACUGGGAUUCCCUCUCCAUCCCUUCGCCCGGGGCCUCAUGUUUUAUUACGGCCUGGAUUUCCAUGAUCUGGCGCCAAACUUCAUCCUCAACAUCUCAGCGUUUAUCGUCUUGUGCGAGGCCUUCCUCCGCAUCAAGCUCCACUUCGGCUUAUGGCUGAAGACCUUCAAUGUCAAGCCGAAGGUAGUGAGCGGCCUCCAGGCGGAGUGCGGAGGCGCCAUGGUGGGCAAGAUGCCCAACAUCACAUGGCUCGAGGGCACCUUCGUGGAUACCAUAAAGGGGUGGCAAUCGAGGUGGUUCUAUAUCACCGAGUCGCGCAACCCCGCAUGGGUAGCGGCCCCCGAGUUCCGAUCUGGCAUCCCCAUGCGGCUCACCUCCUGGAAAGAGAAGGGCCUGUCCUGGGGUAAUUCAAAAGAGCUGACUGGACUCCAGACAUGUAUUCAAAACAUGGUGGACAAGAAGCUCAAGCUCGUCAACAUAGUCCAGGUUAUGCUCGUCCGUUGGAUACUCCCGUGCCAACAACGGGAGUUCACCUUGUGGGAGUUCAACCCGGCACAACACCAAACUCUGAACAGGCUCUUCGACACGACUCAUGAAGAUGCCUCGAGGGUGCUGUUCAAGGGUGCCGCGGUCCCUCCCCCCAUUACUGAGGAUCGCGGAUUCAGCGUGAAGCGCCAAGCCAGUGCGGUAAGUUGUUUUACCUUUUACUGGAUACUUGUUUUCUAUAUAGAUUGACUCUAUGCGGGAUCUGAACUCCCGUGCCGUUAACAGGACUGGCAGAAGAUGGCCGGACAAAUCGACUGUCCGACACCCUUGCCCGAAGGCCCUGCAGAUGCCCUUCUGGCGAAGAUGUUGACUCCGGCCCCUUAUAAGGUGCCGGAGAAGACCAAGAAGGCCAAGGGAGCUCGAAAGAGUUCCCAACGCCAGGCAUCGUCGGACUCACCGUCCGAUGACUCUGCGGCACACUCUUCCCCCGAAGACGAGGAAGAGAAAGAAGAGGCUCCCCCACCGACUGGGGGAGUCAAGAAAAGGAAGGCCGCCCCAACUAGGGAGGCCGGAGGGCCCAAGAAGGGAAGGACGCUCCUUCCGGACAGCUCCACCGCCGCCGAUGAAAGUGAAGACGAGUGGUUGCCCAGGGCCAAGCCCCAGGGGAGAUCGUAAGUAUUCGGAUACCAAAGUAACCCAUAGGAUUCCUUUGUCGCAUUGCUUUCCCUAACACCAAACUCAAUUUUGCAGGCCGCCCCGAGCCAAUAUCGAGGUAUCCUCGGACGGCUCCCUGGGUUCGUCGGACAUGGAUAGCAAUCCAGUCCUGACCGCCACCUCCCCUCAUCCAGCCGACGACGCCGAGGUGCUGUCUCAAGAGGCACCGGAUCGAGGGGGGAUAGUCCCAGAGGUGCCUCAAGGCGACCUUCCGGACUCUGGGAGCCGAGGGGACAGGGUCUCCGAGAGCUCCGAGUUUGGCCCUCAGCCGAACACCGCGCUGGACCCUCCAACGGUUCCGAGCUCGGGCAUGCGGUCCUCUUCUAAGGGGGGUGAGACGCCUGUGCCGGUGACCUCUGUCCAUCUAGAGGCGCCGGACACUAUGUUGGAAGCGCUUCGUAGCGCUUCCAUCGAGGAGGAGCACCGCACUAUCAUGAGUGCAAUGAUCCAGAAGGUUCUGUCCGCCAAGAGCGGAUUGACUGAAGCCUGUACUAGCCUUCUAGAAGGCUUCAAGGUAAGUGUUUUAAAAUGUAGUACAAGUAUUACCGCAUAGACAGUAGCCCCUGAUGCUUUGUUCGGUGUUCGCAAAGAAAAGCCGAACAGAGGAUCAAAUAAUAUCGCAAGAGUCUAAUAUAAGCAUGUCAAUAUGCAUAUGCAGGCUUCUCUGCUGGCGUCCGCCGCACUAACUGCGGAGGUCGCCGUACUGAAGCAGGACCUCGAUGGGUCCAAGAAAGAGCUCGGCCUUGUCAAGAGGCAGCUCGAGGAGAACGAAGGUAAGUAAUACCCCGUCUAUAGAUAUAUGUAUAUAAAAAAGGACGCGAUUGAAAAAUGACAGGAUCAUUGUAUGUUUUGCCAGGGGCCACGACCGAGGUGGCAACCCUGAAGCAAGCGCUGAACAAGGCCGAAGAUACAGCGGCCAAGGAGCGCACCGAGCGAGAGAGGCACGAGGCUCGGGUGGGCGAGGUGCAGCAAGAGCUCCAGGCUCUCGUGACGAAGCACGAGGCGUUGGAGCUUGACUUGAAGACGUGAGAGUUUGAGCUUGCCGCGGCCCGUGAGAGCGCGAAGAGUGCCAAGGCCGAGGCCCAAAAGGCCCUUCAGGAGAUCGACACGAUGAAGAAGGUAGCGGCAGGCAAGGCUUUCUAUAUGCAAAGCAAGCAUGUAAAGGUGAAUUACUGAUUACUUACCCGAAUCCGGAGCUCUUCAGGAGCAUUCACAGAUUUGCCCCGUAGUGUGUCCGAUGCCGCACUAUUCUACCAGGCCAAGGACGGAAGCUCGACGGAGAAGCUGUUCUGGUCUCAGUAUGCUGAGGCCGAACAUCCGGUGCCAAUGAGCAACCAGCUGAAGCAGAUGGCCGAGCUACAUAAGGCGUCCGAUCAGGCCAUGAAGGGCUUCAUAGUCCGGUUGUGGCCUGGCGAUGCCCCUUCGAACAGCUUCUUCGGCCUGGUGAGGCGGCUUGUGGAUGCCUGCCCUCGGUUGGAGGUCGUCAAGCGAUCCGCCUGCAUAGAAGGUGCACGCCAGGCUUUCGCCCGUGUAAAAAUGCAGUGGGUCAAGCUAGACGCCGUGAAGCUGAUCAAGGAGGGGCCACCAGAGGGCAAGGAGCACCGCCACCCCGAGAUGUACUACGAGGGUGUUCUGUCGGGUGCCCGUCUUAUCGCGGAUGAGUGUUCACAAAAUGUAAUAUGUGAAUGAGACUUGCUCGUUUUGGCCUGUAUGUGUGAAAACUUGUUUCAUAUGCGCCAUGCAACGCUUGUUUGAAUUUAAAAUAUUACCUUCUGUUUGGCUAUUUAUCCAAUCUGAGAGAUGGCUAGUCCUCGGCUUCUGCCCCCAUGCCGCUAGUGCUGGGGUGUUCGGGAUAAACCUGAGCACUCUUGUUCCCAUAUUUGGGUCCUUCGAGGGAGGUGCUCAGCACAACGAACAAGGCAACCGGACUAAUAAUGCUUUAUCACUCUCACUUAGCCAUAGAAUUCUAUAAUUUUAAAUUUCGGUGAAGCCCCUGGUGUUGGAAGGCCGAAUUCGGGGCACAAUACACGCCUGUAAGCCGGGCAGAGCCGGCCCCUCGCCCUAAGCGGCAUAAGUCUUUAAGGACUCGAAAAACCUCGCCGAAUAGCGACCAGUCUCGCGCCUUGUCAUGACAGUCAGUUUUAGCUUUCUCUACUGAGGUGCUCAGCCCGGUAGAACCGGGGCACAAUCGCAGUAGUUAUCCUAGCGCUACCUUAACCGAUAGAGCGGAACGUAAGGUACCAAAACAUAGGAGCCGGGCAAACCCAACAUUUGACCAAAGACAUGAUUCAGAGCUAAUGCAUAUAGUGCUAUAAGUUCGGGGUGCCGCACUUGUGAAAGUGUUCGGACUUUUAGCACCAUAUUGCAGGUAUGUAAGCCCCUGGUGCAUUGGCCGUACCAGAGUGUACGGUUGCAAGGCGUCGUUAAUGAACGCAUAUAUAUAUACAUACAUAUAUAUAUAACAAACAUGCAAUAAUAGUCGUAAUGUCAUGCAUUGUUUAUUAAAAAAUUGCAUUAAAGCAGAGUGAUAUGGAUAGUGCAAUAAGCAAAAGAGUAGGACUAUGUCCCUUCCAAGGGCAAGCUGAGGAAUGAUAUGAAAUCUGUAAUCAACCUGGGAAUUCCGUUGUAUAACGUAGUUCUCUGCCUCCUUGGUUGUUGUAUCAUGUGUUCGACAAUGGAGCUGCCGGACAGUGUUUCCAGAGAUUAAAGUCCUGAAAGAAAAAGAAAAAUAACCAAACGGGAAGCCCCUAGUGCGGUUUAGGCCGCGUUUUGGGGCGUGCCGCAGUUGUGCCCCCCCUCCCCUCCUGUGCCCAUGGUAUUUUUAAUGCGUAAUUAUGUACGCGCGGCACGAAUAACGCCGUUGGGCUGGGUUUGGGGUGGCUGCCGUAUUGCUACGCGAGCUUAGAUCGCGCUAGGCGGUCUGUCUGCCGAUUGCCCCGAGCGCGCUUGAAGGUGUCCGAGUUUUGAAACGCUGAACUGGUAGAUUGCCUUGAGAGGCUGCUUUGCGCUUCUGCUGCAAGGGUCGUGGUGUGCUCCUCUGUUCGGAGAGAGCGCUCUGUGUUUCCAUUGACUAUAAUAACUCCACGAGGUCCUCACAUCUUGAGCUUGAGGUAUGCAUAAUGUGGUACCACAUUGAAUCUAGCGAAUGCGGUUCGUCUGAGCAGUGCGUGAUAACCACUGCAGAACGGGACUAUAUCGAAGAUUAACUCUUUGCUUCGGAAGUUAUCCGAGGAUCCGAAGACCACUUCCAGUGUAAUUGAGCCUGUGCAGUGCGCCUCUACGCCUGGAAUGACGCCUUUAAAGGUUGUUUUUGUGGGUUUGAUCCUUGAGGGGUCUAUACCCAUUUUGCGCACUGUGUCCUGAUAAAGCAGGUUCAGGCUGCUGCCGCCAUCCAUAAGGACUUGAGUGAGGUGAAAGCCGUCGAUGAUAGGGUCUAGGACCAGUGUGGCAAAUCCGCCAUGAUGGAUACUAGUGGGGUGGUCCCUGCGAUCGAAGGUGAUCGGAUAGGAGGACCAAGGGUUGAACUUUGGGGCGACUGGCUCCAACGCAUAUACGUCCCUCAGCGCACGCUUCCGCUCCCUCUUAGGGAUAUGGGUUGCGUAUAUCAUGUUCACCAUCCGCACUUGCGGGGGAAACCUCUUCUGUCCUCCGGUGUGUGGCUGCCGGGGUUUUUCCUCGUCAUCGCUAUGCGGCCCUUUGUCCUUGUUUUCAGUAAUUAACUUGCCGACCAGCUUGAACACCCAACAAUCCCUGUUGGUGUGAUUGGCUGGCUUGUCUGGGGUGCCGUGUAUUUGACACGAGCGAUCGAGUAUACGGUCCAAGCUGGACGGACCCGGCGUACUUUGUUUGAAUGGCUUUUUCCGCUGACCGGGUUUAGAGCCUUUGAAUCCAGCAUUGACUGCCGUAUCCUUAAUACUUUCACUGUUAAUGUAGUGCUUAUGCUUGUUGCGACGUGACCUACUAUUGCCGUCCUUGGUAUCUGAGGUACCAUGGUUCUUUGAUAUGUUAUUACUGCGAGCAAACUAGCUGUCUUCUCCCGCACAAAAGCGGGUCAUGAGCAUCGUGAGAGCUGCCAUAGAUUUCGGCUUUUCCUGACCAAGGUGCCGGGCUAGCCACUCGUCUCGAAUGUUGUGCUUGAAAGCCGCUAAGGCCUCCGCAUCCGAACAAUCGACGAUUUGAUUUUUCUUUGUAAGGAACCGAGUCCAGAAUUGCCCGGCCGACUCUUCUGGCUGCUGAAUUAUGUGGCUCAAGUCAUCAGCGUCUGGUGGUCGCACAUAAGUGCCCUGAAAGUUGUCGAGGAAUGCGGCUUCCAGAUCUUCCCAACAGCUAAUGGAGUCCGCUGGCAAGCUAUUAAGCCAAUGCCGCGCUGGUCCUUUUAGUUUUAGUGGGUGGUAUUUGAUGGCAUGUAAGUCAUCACCGCAGGCCAUGUGGAUGUGGAAGAGGAAGUCCUCAAUCCAUACUGCGGGAUCUGUUGUGCCGUCGUAUGAUUCAAUGUUUACAGGUUUGAAACCUUCUGGGAAUUGAUGUUCCAUUACUUCGUCUGUGAAGCAUAAGGGGUGUGCGGUGCCUCCGUAUUGGGCUAUAUCGCGACGCAGCUCAUAUGGGUCCUGCCCGCUGUGUUUGGCCCGACCGGAUUUGCUUUUACUGUAUCCGGCAUGACGUUUACUGUCUCGUAGAGUGGUGCGCCCUCGUGAUCCGUAGAUCGAUCUUGAAUGCUUUGCUUUGUCCUCCAAUAUGUCUCGCAGGUCUGGCGUAUCUCCCCAUGCCUUUUUAUUUGGAUGGCGUUGGGGUGGAGGCUGAGCUUUUGGCUGGAAUGCCUCUCUAUCGCGGCCAUGAGGUGGCCGAUCAGCCGUAUCAUAUGCUUCUUCCUCCAGUCGGGGUAGUAACCUGCGCCUUGGGUAACUCUUGAAGGGACGCUCGAGUUUAUAUUCCUCGGCUGCGAGGACUUCAGUCCAUUUGUUAGCUAGCAGAUCUUGAUCAGCUUGAAGCUACCGCUGCUUUUUCUUCAGGCUAUUUGCCGUGGCCAUAAGCCUGCGUUUGAAGCGCUCUUGUUUGAUAGGAUCCUCUGGUACGGCGAAUUCAUCGUCGCCGAGGCUUGCCUUGUCUUCGGAGGGGGGCAUGUAAUUGUCAUCCUCCUCCUCUCCGCCAGCCGCUCUCUCAGGAGAGCUGGCUCCUUCAUCCUCCUGCUCUCAAUCUUGCUGGAGGGGAUUGUUGUUGUCUUGGGCGCUAUCCGGAGUGUUGUUAUCUCCUGUGCCGGUAUCACCACUUUUGCUUUGGCGGGACUUAGAGUGGCGCCGCUGACGUCGGCGCUUGGGUUGCUUCUUGGAGGGAUCAUCCUCCGCCAUCUCGUCGCCGUUGCCUUCAUUGGGUGUAUCCACCAUGUAUAUGUCAUACGACGAGGUGGCUUUCCAGUGCCCUAUAGGUGCUGGUUCAUGUUCAUCUCCUACAUCGUCGUCCAUACCGUCGAUGUCUUCGGAGUCGAAGUCGAGCACGUCGGUUAAAUCAUCGACCGUGGCUACAAAGUGGGUGGUGGGUGGGCGUUGAAUUUCUUCGUCGUCCGCAUCCCAAUCCUGUUGGCCAUAAUCUGGCCAGGGCUCUCCUGACAAAGAGAGAGACCUUAGUGAAUUCAAAAUGUCGCCGAAGGGCGAGUGCUGAAAGAUAUCCGCGGCGGUGAAUUCCAUGAUCGGCGCCCAAUCUGAUUAGAUUGGCAGGGGCGCGGAUGGUUCGGUUUCUGGAAGAGAGUCCGGCACCUUGGAGUCACGGGCUGCACGGAGAUUUGUGCUGGUGUUCGGCUUGAUCGCCGUUGAGACUGCAACCCCUGAGGUGGUGUCUAACCACCCGUCCUCGAUUGGCACAGUUGGCUCCAAACUAAGGGUCGGAGCUGAUGCGGGCGCGGCUUCUGGGGUACUGUUCGGCGGUAGAGCUAGGUCAUACCCAUCGCGACAGUGGGGCGCGCCCGGCUGCAGCUCGAAUCCGUCAAAGAUCAAGUCUCCGCGGAUGUCGGUCGUGUAGUUCAAACUUCCAAAUCUGACCUGAUGGCCAGGGGCGUAGCUUUCAAUCUGCUCCAGAUGGCCAAGCGAAUUAGCCCGCAGUGCAAAGCCGCCGAAUACGAAGAUCUGUCUAGGGAGAAAAGUCUCACCCUGGACCGCAUCGCUAUCGAUGAUAGUAGGAGCCAUCAAGCCCAACGGCGACGACACAGAGGAACUCUCUAUGAAAGCACCAAUGUCGGUGUCAAAACCGGCGGAUCUUGGGUAGGGGGUCCCGAACUGUGCGUCUAGGCCGGAUGGUAACAGGAGGCAAGGGACACAAAUUUUUACCCAAGUUCGGGCCCUCUUGAUGGAGGUAAAACCCUACGUCCUGCUUGAUUAAUAUUGAUGAUAUGGGUGUUACAAGAGUAGAUCUACCACGAGAUCAGAGAGGCUAAACCCUAGAAGUUAGCCUAUGGUAUGAUUGUAUGUUAUGAUUGUUGUCCUACAGACUAAAACCCUUCGGUUUAUAUAGACACCGGAGAGGCUUAGGGUUACAUAAGGUCGGUUACAAAGGAGGAGAUAUCCAUAUACGUAUUGCCUAGCUUGCCUUCCACGCCAAGUAGAGUCCCAUCCGGACACGAGACGAAGUCUUCAAUCUUGUAUCUUCAUAGUCUAAUAGUCCGUCCAAUGGAGAUAGUCCGGCUGUCCGGAGACCCCCUAAUCCGGGACUCCCUCAGUGACCAAUGGGUUAGUUAUGGGAUGUUGCAUUACAGAACGAGUAAAGAGACUUGCCGGUAACGAGAUUGAACUAGGUAUUGAGAUACCGACGAUAGAAUCUCGGGCAAGUAACAUACCAAUGACAAAGGGAACAACGUAUGUUGUUAUGCAGUUUGACCGAUAAAGAUCUUCGUAGAAUAUGUAGGAACCAAUUUGAGCAUCCAGGGCUAUUGGUUUAUUGACCGGAGAUGAGUCUCGGUCAUGUCUACAUAGUUCUUGAACCCGUAGGAUCCGCACGCUUAAUGUUCGGCGACGAUUGGUAUUAUGAGUUUAUGUGUUUUGAUGUACCGAAGGUUGUUCCGAGUCCCGGAUGUGAUCACGGGCAUGACAAGGAGUCUUGAAAUGGUCGAGACAUAAAGAUCGAUAUAUUGGAAGCUUAUGUUUGGACAUCAGAAUGGUUCCAGGUGAGUUUGGGAAUAUACCGGAGUACUGGGAGGUUACCGGACCCCCUCGGGAAGUAUAUGGGCCUUAUUGGGCCAUAGUGGGAGAGAGGAGAAGGGAGCCUAGGAGGGGGCAUGCCCCCAAGCCCAAUCCGAAUUGGGUGGGGGCCGGCCCCCAUUUCCUUCCCCCCUCUCUCCCCUUCCUUCCUCUCCUAAUCCAACUAGGGAAGGAGGGGGGGGGGAAUCCUACUCCCGGUGGGAUUAGGAGUCCCUUGGCCACGCCAUAGAGGGCCGACCCCUCCCCCUCCUCCACUUCUUUAUAUACGGGGGAGGGGGCACCCCAUAGACACACAAGUUGACAAUUAUCUUAGCCGUGUGCGGUCCCCCCUCCACCAUAAUCCACCUUGGUCAUAUCGUUGCAGUGAUUAUGUGAAGCCCUGUUCCGGUAGCUUCAUCAUCACCAUCCACACGCUGUCGUGCUGACAAAACUCUCCCUCGACACUCAGCUGGAUCUAGAGUUCAUGGGACGUCUCCGAGGUUAACGUGUGUAGAUCGCGUAGGUGCCGUACCUUCGGUGCUAGGAUCGGUCGGAUCGUGAAGACGUUCGACUACGUCAACUGCGUUGUCAUAACGCUUCCGCUUACGAUCUAUGAGGGUACGUGGACAACACUCUUCCCCUCUUGUUGCUAUGCAUCACCAUGAUAGAUCUUGCGUGUGUGUAGGAUUUUUUUUGAAAUUACUGUGUUCCCGAACAGUGGCAUCUGAACCAGUUCUAUGCGUAGAUGUUAUAUGCACGAGUAGAACACAAAGGAGUUGUGAGCGUGGGUAUAUACAUAUUGCUUGUCAUCACUAGUUGAUUCUUGAUUCAGCGGUAUUGUUGGAUGAAGUGGCUCAGACCGACAUUACGCGUACGCUUACGCGAGACUGGUUCUACCGACGUGCUUCGCACACAGGUGGCUGGUGGGUGUCAGUUUCUCCAACUUUAGUUGAAUCAGAUUCAAUGAACAGGGUUCUUUCUGAAGAUCAAAAAGCAAUCACUAUACCGCGUUGUGGUUUUUGAUGCGUAGGUAAGAACGGUUCUUGCUCAGCCCGUAGCAGCCACGUAAAACUUGCAAUAACAAAGUAGAGGAUGUCUAACUUGUUUUUGCAGGGCAUGUUGUGAUGUGAUAUGGUCAAGACAUGAUACUAAAUUUUAUUGUAUGAGAUGAUCAUGUUUUGUAACAGAGUUAUCUGCAACUGGCAGGAGCCAUAUGGUUGUCGCUUUAUUGUAUGAAAUGCAAUCGCCAUGUAAUUGCUUUACUUUAUCACUAAGCGGUAGCGAUAGUUGUAGAAGCAAUAGUUGGCAAGACGACAAUGAUGCUUCAAUGGAGAUCAAGGUGUCAAGCCGUUGACGAUGGUGAUCAUGACGGUGCUUUGGAGAUGGAGAUCAAAGGCACAAGAUGAUGAUGGCCAUAUCAUAUCACUUAUAUUGAUUUCAUGUGAUGUUUAUCCUUUAAGCAUCUUAUUUUGCUUAGUUCGGCGGUAGCAUUAUAAGAUGACCUCUCACUAAAUUUCAAGGUAUAAGUGUUCUCCCUGAGUAUGCACCGUUGCUACAGUUCGUCGUGCCAAGACACCAUAUGAUGAUCGGGUGUGAUAAGCUCUACGUUCACAUACAACGGGUGCAACCUGUUUUGCACACGCGGAAUACUCGGGUUAAACUUGACGAGCCUAGCAUAUGCAGAUAUGGCCUCGGAACAUUGAGACUGAAAGGUCGAGCAUGAAUCCUAUAGUAGAUAUGAUCAACAUAGUGAUGUUCACCAUUGAAAACUACUCCAUCUCACAUGAUGAUCAGACAUGGUUUAGUUGAUAUGGAUCACGUGAUCACUUAGAUGAUUAGAGAGAUGUCUAUCUAAGUGGGAGUUCUUAAGUAAUUUGAUUAAUUGAACUUUAAUUUAUCAUGAGCUUAGUACCUGAUAGUAUUUUGCAUGUCUAUGUUGUUGUAGAUUGAUGGCCCGUGCUGUUGUUCCAUUGAUUUUCAAUGCGUUCCUAGAGAAAGCUAAGUUGAAAGAUGAUGGUAGCAAUUACACGGACUGGGUCCAUAACUUGAGUAUUAUCCUCAUUGUUUCACAUAAGAAUUACGUCCUAGAAGCACCGCUAGGUGACAAACCCGCUGCGGGAGCAACACCAGAUGUUGUGAACACCUGGCAGAGCAAAGUUCAUGACUACUCGAUAGUUCAGUGUGCCAUGCUUUACGGCUUAGAACCGGGACUUCAACGAUGUUUUGAACGUCAUGGAGCAUAUGAGAUGUUCCAGGAGUUGAACUUAAUAUUUCAAGCAAAUGCCCGGAUUGAGAGAUAUUAAGUCUCCAAUAAAUUCUACAACUGCAAAAUGGAGGAGAAUAGUUCUGUCAGUGAACAUAUACUCAGAAUGUCUAGGUACCACAACCACUUGACUCAACUGGGAGUUAAUCUUCCUGAUGAUAGUAUCAUUGACAGAGUUCUUCAAUCGCUGCCACCAAGCUACAAGAGCUUCGUGAUGAACUAUAAUUUGCAAGGGAUGGAUAAGACGAUUCCUGAGCUCUUCGCAAUGCUAAAGGCUGCAGAGGUAGAAAUCAAGCAGGAGCAUCAAGUGUUGAUGGUCAACAAGACCAUCAGUUUCAAGAAAAAGGGUAAAGGGAAUAAGAGGAAUGAGGGAGUCCUGGAUUAGGGGGUCUCCGGACAGCCGGACUAUCUCCAUUGGCCGGACUGUUAGACUAUGAAGAUACAAGAUUGAAGACUUCGUCUCGUGUCCGGAUGGGACUCUACUUGGCGUGGAAGGAAAGCUAGGCAAUACGUAUAUGGAUAUCUCCUCCUUUGUAACCGACCUUGUGUAACCCUAACCCUCUCCAGUGUCUAUAUAAACCGAAGGGUUUUAGUCCAUAGGACAACAAUCAUAACAUACAAUCAUACCAUAGGCUAGCUUCUAUGGUUUAGCCUCUCCGAUCUCGUGGUAGAUCUACUCUUGUAACACCCAUAUCAUCAAUAUUAAUCAAGCAAGACAUAGGGUUUUACCUCCAUCAAGAGAGCCCGAACCUGGGUAAAACUUCGUGUCCCUUGCCUCCUGUUACCAUCCGGCCUAGAUGCAUAGUUCGGGACCCCAUACCCGAGAUCCGCCGGUUUUGACACCGACAUUGGUGGUUUCAUUGAGAGUUCCUCUGUGUCGUCGCCGUUGGGCUUGAUGGCUCCUACUAUCAUUGAUAGCGAUGCGGUCCAGGGUGAGACUUUUCUCCCCGGACAGAUCUUCGUAUUUGUCGGCUUUGCACUGCGGGCUAAUUCGCUUGGCCAUCUGGAGCAGAUUGAAAGCUACGCCCUGGCCAUCAGGUCAGAUUUGGAAGUUUGAACUACACGACCGACAUCCGCGGAGACUUGAUCUUCGACGGAUUCGAGCCGCAGCCGGACGCGCCCCGUUGUCACGAUGGGUAUGACCUAGCUCUACCGCCGAACAGUACCCCAGAAGCCGCGCCCGCAUCAGCUCCGACCCUUAGUUCGGAGCCAACUGCACCAAUCGAGGACGGGUGGUUAGACACCACCUUAGGGGUUGCAGUCUCAACGGCGAUCGAGCCGAACACCAGCACAAAUCUCCAUGCAGCUCGUGACUCCAAGGUGCCGGACUCUCUUCCGGAAACCGAACCAUCCGCGCCCCUGCCAAUCGAAUCCGAUUGGGCGCCGAUCAUGGAAUUCACCGCCGCAGAUAUCUUUCAGCACUCGCCCUUCGGCGACAUUCUGAAUUCACUAAGGUCUCUCUCUUUGUCAGGAGAGCCCUGGACGGAUUAUGGCCAACAGGAUUGGGAUGCGGACGACGAAGAAAUUCGACGCCCACCCACCACCCACUUUGUAGCCACGGUCGAUGAUUUAACUGACGUGCUCGACUUUGACUCCGAAGACAUCGACGAUAUGGACGACGAUGUAGGAGACGAACAUGAACCAGCACCUAUAGGGCACUGGAAAGCCACCUCGUCAUAUGACAUAUACAUGGUGGAUACACCCAAUGAAGGCAACAACGACGAGAUGGCGGAGGAUGACCCCUCCAAGAAGCAACCCAAGCGCCGACGUCAGCGGCGUCGCUCUAAGUCCCGCCAAAGAAAAAGUGGUGAUACCGACACAGGAGAUAAUAACACUCCGGAUAGAGCCGAAGACAACAACAAUCCCCUCCAGCAAGAUUUAGAGCAGGAGGAUGAAGGAGCCAGCUCUCCUGAGAGAGCGGCUGGCGGAGAGGAGGAGGAGGACAAUUACAUGCCCCCUCCGAAGACGAGGCAAGCCUCGGUGACGAUGAAUUCGAUGUACCAGAGGAUCCCGUCGAACAAGAGCGCUUCAAGCGCAGGCUUAUGGCCACGACAAAUAGCCUGAAGAAAAAGCAGCAGCAGCUUCAAGCUGAUCAAGAUCUGCUAGCUGACAAAUGGACUGAAGUCCUCGCAACCGAGGAAUAUAAACUCGAGCGUCCCUUCAAGAGUUACCCAAGGCGCAGGUUACUACCCUGACUGGAGGAAGAAGCGUAUGAUACGGCUGAUCAGCCACCUCGUGGCCGCGAUAGAGAGGCAUUCCAGCCAAAAGCUCAGCCUCCACCCCAACGCCAUCCAAAUAAAAAGGCAUGGGGAGAUACGCCAGACCUGCGAGACAUAUUGGAGGACAAAGCAAAGCAUUGAAGAUCGAUCUACGGAUCACGAGGGUGCACCACUCUACGAGACGGUAAACGUCAUGCCGGAUACAGUAAAAGCAAAUCCGGCCGGGCCGAAUACAGCGGGCAGGACCCAUACGAGCUGCGUCGCGAUAUAGCCCAAUACAAAGGCGCCGCACACCCCUUAUGCUUCACAGACGAAGUAAUGGAACAUCAAUUCCCAGAAGGUUUCAAACCUGUAAACAUUGAAUCAUACGACGGCACAACAGAUCCCGCAGUAUGGAUUGAGGACUUCCUCCUCCACAUCCACAUGGCCCACGGUGAUGACUUACAUACCAUCAAAUACCUCCCACUAAAACUCAAAGGACCAGCGCGGCAUUGGCUUAAUAGCUUGCUAGCAGACUCCAUUAGCUGUUGGGAAGAUCUGGAAGCCGCAUUCCUCGACAACUUUCAGGGCACUUAUGUGCGACCACCAGACGCCGAUGACUUGAGCCACAUAAUUCAGCGGCCAGAAGAGUCGGCCAGGCAAUUCUGGACUCGGUUCCUUACAAAGAAAAAUCAAAUCGUCGACUGUCCGGAUGCGGAGGCCUUAGCGGCUUUCAAGCACAACAUCCGAGAUGAGUGGCUAGCCCGACACCUUGGUCAGGAAAAGCCGAAAUCUAUGGCAGCUCUCACGACGCUCAUGACCCGCUUUUGUGCGGGAGAAGACAGCUGGUUGGCUCGCAGUAAUAACAUAUCAAAGAACCGUGGUACCUCAGAUACCAAGGACGGCAAUAGCAGGUCAUGUCGCAACAAGCAUAAGCGCCGCAUUAACAGCGAAAGUACUGAGGAUACGACAUUCAAUGCCGGAUCCAAAGGAUCUAAACCCGGUCAGCGAAAAAAGCCAUUCAAACAAAGUACAUCGGGUCUGUCCAGCUUGGACCGUAUACUCGAUCGCUCGUGUCAAAUACACGGCACCCCAGACAAGCCAGCCAAUCACACCAACAGGGAUUGUUGGGUGUUCAAGCAGGCCAGCAAGUUAAUUGCCGAAAAUAAGGACAAAGGGCCGCAUAGCGAUGACGAGGAAGAACCACGGCAGCCGCACACCGAAGGACAGAAGAGGUUUCCCCCGCAAGUGCGGAUGGUGAACAUGAUAUACGCAACCCAUAUCCCCAAGAGGGAGCGGAAGUGUGUGCUCAGGGACGUAUAUGCGUUGGAGCCAGUCGCCCCAAAGUUCAACCCUUGGUCCUCCUAUCCGAUCACCUUCGAUCGCAGGGACCACCCCACUAGUAUCCAUCAUGGCGGAUUUGCCACACUGGUUCUAGACCCAAUCAUCGACGGUUUUCACCUCACUCGAGUCCUUAUGGAUGGCGCCAGUAGCCUGAACCUGCUUUAUCAGGACACAGUGCGCAAAAUGGGUAUAGACCCCUCAAGGAUCAAACCCACAAAAACGACCUUUAAAGGCGUCAUUCCAGGCGUAGAGGCGCACUGCACAGGCUCAAUUACACUGGAAGUGGUCUUCGGAUCCUCGGAUAACUUCCGAAGCAAAGAGUUAAUCUUUGAUAUAGUCCCGUUCUGCAGUGGUUAUCACGACUGCUCAGACGAACCGCAUUCGCUAGAUUCAAUGCGGUACCACAUUAUGCAUACCUCAAGCUCAAGAUGUGAGGACCUCGCGGAGUUAUUACAGUCAAUGGAAACACAGAGCACUCUCUCCGAACAGAGGAGCACACCAUGGCCCUUGCAGCAGAAGCGCAAAGCAGCCUCUCAAGGCAAUCUACCAGUUCGGCGUUUCAAAACUCGGACACCUUCAAGCGCGCUCGGGGCAAUUGGCAGACAGACCGCCUGAUGCGAUCUGAGCUCGCCUAGCAAUACGGCGGCCACCCCAAACCCAUCCCAACGGUGUUAUUCAUGUCGCGCGUACAUAAUUACGCAUUAAAAAUACCAUGGGCACAGGAGGGGGGGGGGGGGCACAACUGCGGCACGCCCCAAAACGCAGCCUAAACCGCACUAGGGGCUUCCCGUUUGGUUAUUUUUCUUUUUCUUUCAGGACUUUAAUCUCUGCAAACACUGUCCGGCAGCUCCAUUGUGGAACACAUGAUACAACAACCAAGGAGGCAGACAACUACGUUAUACAACAGAAUUCCCAGGUUUAUUACAGAUUUCAUAUCAUUCCUCAGCUCGCCCUUGGAAGGGACAUAGUCCUACUCUUUUGCUUAUUGCACUAUCUGUAUCGCUCUGCUUUAAUGCAAUUUUUUAAUAAACAAUGCAUGACAUUACGACUAUUAUUGCAUCUUUGUUUUAUAUAUAUAUAGAGAGAGAGAGUGACACUAUUUUAAUUCCAGGAUUAGAAUAACUAUUUGGAUCACAGCAGCCCUAUAUAGGGCCCGACAGGGCCCUCCCGAACUUCCGAACUACCGCUGGCCCGACAGGAUCCAUUGGAUCCCGAGGCCCCCCGACAGGAUCCACCUGAUCCCGAUCCCGAUCCCGAGCUGCCCCAGCCCCCUCCUCCCCUCGAUCCCCCGACCUCCCCCUCAUCACCGCUGAUCUUCGUCGGAUCCGCCGCCUACCUUCCUUCCCCAGCUCCUGGCCGGCCGGAUCCUCCGCCUCCCUUCCUUCCCCAGCUCCUGGCCGGCCACCGGCCACCGGCACGGGCGAGCGAGCGAUGGCGGAUGCCAGCGCGAGGGAGCCCGCGUCGCCUGGAUGCGGCGAAGCCGCCAUGGACUUCAGGAAGCCGCAUCCUCGUCCCAUCGUCACCGCCCGAAGCCUUGGCAGACCAGAUGACGGCCCCGACGCAAGCAACGGCGAGCGGCGCGACCAACAGAGCAACUCCUCCGCGGAGGCGGCAUCGGCUGCGCCCUCAAAUUCAGCGGCAAAAGUACAUGAACUUCCUCCCAAUUUUGCCUUCUUCUUCAAUCUUGCUUUCUCUGACCUUCUUGCUUCGUGCAGAUGAACUUCGCGCCCCCUGCAAGACAUGGAUUGCCAUGGAAUUCCUCUACUACCUCCAUGACGAAUUGUUCUCAAGGUGGCCUAUCAUCAGCUGUUGGAAAAAGAUUGGCCGAACUUCUAGCCAGGGUAUGGUUGAACUUCUUCCUUCCUUCGGUUUGUUAUUUGCCUACAGCUAUGUGAAGUUCAGGUGGUGUGUGAGCCUCAGUCCAGGCUACAAAAGCUUUUUGAAAUUCUGCCUGCUUACAACCAUGUGAAGUUCUUGUAGUGUGUGAGCCUCAGUCCAGGCUACAAAACAACAUUGUAAAAAUCUGCCUGCUUACAGGCAUGUGAAGUUCAGGUAGUAUGUGAGCAUCAGUCCAGGCUACAAACACUAUAAAAUCUGCAUGCAUUCACAUUCACAUGUGAAGUUCAACUAGUAAGUGUGCUAGAGUUCAGGUUGGUAUGUCUCUGGUUCUGUGCAAAAAAAUAGAAGGAAAAUAAAACAUGCACGUGAUAUGACAUGAAGGUCAGGUUGGUAUGCACUAGCAGUCCAUCCAUUCAAACGCAUGAAGGUUCAAGUUUUUUAACUAUAGAUAGUAUUUCCCCUUUGCAAAACAGGAAGUUCAGGUUGUGGACAGUGCUCAGUUCAGGUGCAUAUAAGUAAUAAAAUAUUAUAGAAUUAAAAAAUAGGAUGUGAAGUUAAUUCUGUGAAGGGUGCUCAGUUCAGGUACAAAAGUAUUGGCAGAUGCUCAGCUCAGUGCAUAGUGUGAUGGCUAUCACCACUUUUAUAUGAGAAGUUCAGGCUGUGAAUAAUGCUAAGUUCAGUUACAAAGGUAUAGGCAAAUAUAACUUGUGUGCUAAUAAACAUUUUUUUCUUUUAUGUCAGGAAGACGAGAGACGCAUGAAGAAGCUUAGAAGUUCCCAACAGCAAGUACACAAUCCAAAGCCUGUACGCGUUGCACCACCCCCUCAAUGGGUCACGCCUCAAACGCACCAACAGCAUUACCAACCUGCUCCAGACCAAAAAUGGAUGACACCCGAAACACACGGAUACUUCCGAGAUGCUGGGUCACAGCCCUAUCCGCACAGGUUUGUGCCUCCACCUAACUGGGUGACGCCGGAAAUCCCCCGCGGAUUCUUUGUAUCCACAAGCAGGCUCCCAAGCACGCCGAUGGAGGAGGGGGUUAGCUCAAGUCAUGCGUGUAACUAUGGAGGUUAUCCUGGUGUGCCUCGUCAACGCCAAAGCCAAGCAACUAAACCGGAUCCCAGGACAAAUCCAACAGCAACACACACAUGGAGGAGAGUGAUCUGCACACUACCACCGUUUGAUCCUGCUGCUGCUGCUACAAGUCAGAAUUGUACGGGUGAUAAGGUAGAUGGAUUGCUUCAUAAAACAAAAGAGCAAACCAAGACCAGGAUCGCAAUACCUCCACAACCACCUCAAGCAAAAAGGACGCAAACAAGAGAGAUGCCAUCUUCAGCCCUCCUUCCUCCUCGUGAUCCACUGCUGGAUCCUGCUAUGAUUACUCUGCCAUGCCCCAUCCCAGAGGGACAGCAACCGACACCGGCGGAGUUGCGAUCAUACACGCACGUAAGUGAAACAAAAAAAUAUUUAUAUACGCAUCUUGUAUUAUCUGCACAUUUUCUGCUCCCUCCAGAAUAACAAGUUCAUAAACUGCAUUUUAACGUGCUGUUUGGAUUAUUAUUUUUUCUUUUUCUGCAGAUGUCAGAUCUACCGGAUUAUCUAAUACCAAGACUAAAGAUGUGAUUCAAAGAUGUAGAGAAAGCAAGGGAAUUUUAUAACAGAUACGCUAGGCACGCUGGUUUUGGAAUCAGGAAGACGGGUGGAAAUGACAACCACAAGUAUUUUGUUUGCGCCUUCCAAGGGAUACACACAUCUUCUGUUUCAGAGGCCAACAGGGAGCGAAACAAAACAUCGCAGACAACGGGAUGCAAUGCAAGAAUGAGGGUGAAGGUGCAGGAGGAUGACACAUGCGUGGCAGUGGACAUUGAGUACAAUCAUAAUCACCAGCUCAUGCAAACUGAUGACAUGCUGGUAUUUUUGCACUCACACAAGAAUUAUGACCCCACUAUUCUGGAGUAUGUAAAGCUUCUGCAGUACCAUGAUGUCAAGCACACAACAAUCAUGUCCAUGCUAUCUGAAAAUGAAGAUGGAAGCUACUUCCUAAGCAUGACCGGACGAGACCUACUAAACCAGUAAGUAUUCAAACACCCACAUGCUGCAAUGUAAAAUAGCAUCCUAGCUCACAAUCCCUUUGAUAGCAAAAAUAACAAAUGCAUGUUGGUGUGUGAUUUGCAGGAAAGCCAUGAAUGCAAGGAAAGAUGAUUUGUAUGAUGUAUUAAAACUUGUUUCAUUCUUCAAAGACAUGAAGGCAAUAAAUGAUGAGUUUUUCUAUGACAUCCAAGUGGACAAGGACAAGUCAAUUAAAAACAUUUUCUGGUCCAAUGCAAGCUGCCGAGGAGCCUACCAGGACUUCAGCGAUUGCGUAACAUUUGACACGACUUACAAGACCAACAGAUUUCAUAUGCCCCUGGGAGUGUUUGUUGGAACAAACCAUCACUUGCAGUCAACGAUAUUUGCUGUUGCCCUGAUAAGAGACAAAGAUGCAAAGCCAUUCAAGUGGCUGUUCGAUACAUUUCUACGGUGCAUGAACAACAAGCACCCAACUUGCAUUCUAACAGGUGAGUUCAAAAAAAACUCCUCAAGUUUCAUCAUCUUUUCAGUCUAUGGGUCUCUGUUGAUUGGGUACAUUUGUUUUUUCUGAAAAUAUGUAAAGAAUGCAGUUCAACCACUAUUAGCACAGAAGUCCAACUAGCAAUACAAGAAAGCAAAAUUAUCUGUCACAUGUUUAGAAAAAAAGUAGUUAUGAAUGUGAAGUUCAAGUACAUGAAUCAUAGAAGUUCAAGGAUGAAGCCUUAGAUAAAAAUACGUAGCAUGUUCAGAAAACAUAGUUAUUUAUGUGAAGUUCAAUCACUGCUACCACAGAAGUUCAACAACACUGCUGUAAGAAAAUUUUUGAGUGUGACACUACUAGUUUGUCCUACUACUAACUGUGAAGUUCAAGCACUGGUACCACAGAAGUUCAGCAACACUGCUGUAAGAAAAAAAUACAUGUGACAUUCUUAGAUAGCCAUACUACCAGAUGUGAAGUUCAAUUACUUGUGCAACAUAAGUUCACCAUCAGUACAAAAAAGAAUCAAGUUUCAUUUUUUUAAUUCAUGCAGACUAGUGCCCAUCGAUGGCGAAAGCUAUACCACAAUCAUUUCCAAACACCGUCCACAAGCUAUGCCGUUGGCACAUAUUGAAGAAGUACAGGGAAUACCUCACGUUGUUGUACAAAAAGUAUAAAACAUUCAAAGAGGAGUUCACAACUAUAUUGAACUGGCCGCUGAUGCCAACGGAGUUUGAAGAUGCCUGGGCUGAACUCGUGCACAAGUACCACCUGGAGAACGACCAGAUGAUGAUGCAGCUCUGGAGUGAUAGGAAGAUGUGGAUUUCAGCAUAUUACAAGAACAUUUUCUGUGCUAGAAUGACUUCCACACAACAAAGCGACAACAUGAACCACGUGCUAAAGAAAGGGUUUGUCAAGGGGACCCAGAACCUACACAAGUUUGCUAGGCAGGUCAAUGCUUGCAUACAAACUCGGAUGCAGAAGGAGAACAAGCAAACAAUGACCAGCAUGGUAUGAUGACAAGUACAAAACACCACCAUCAUGUUCUGUUUACCUUCAACAUGUGCACUUUGAAUUUUAAAAAAUGAAACCCAUGAUUCUGCUUUGACUAAUAUCUUACUUUUUGACAUGUGCAGACCAAUCCUGUGACAAAGACAACUUACGGCUACGAGGAAGACAUGUCUAUCAAGUACACGAGAGCCGUGUACACCGAGAUGAGGAAUAGGAUGAGAAAGGCCACUCUAUUUCGCGCAAAGCGUACAACAGAGUCCACUAAGUACCUUGUGUACUACCAUAACAAGCCUGGCCAUGAUGAUGAAGAAAGAUUUUCCUGGUCAAAGCAUGAAUUCCAGGUUGUAGCUGACCCAGACAAUGAAAUAUACAAGUGUGAAUGCAAGCUCUGGACACACACAGGUGAGCGGGAAAACAAACUCAUUAAAUAGCUAGACUAGUAGUAUCAGAUCAAAAUUUAUGAAACUCAUUGCUGGCUCACAAACUAUGUAUUCUGCAUUCAUGACAAAAUGCAGGCCUGUUCUGCCUUCACAUCAUGAACAUACUGGACUACCUGAAGCCUGACAAAUUUCCAAACAAGUAUAUCCUCAAACGGUACACAAAGACUGCAAAAUCACAGCCAACCUUUGAUACAAGGGACUACAACACAACCGCAUCGGAUGGCAGCUCAAGGCUAUCGAAGCAAGACAUCUUGCUGCGGCUGAAUUUGAUGGUUAACAAGAAAGCGAUGAGAUGUGACCAGCAGUAUGACAGAGCCUACUAUGUUCUCAAGAGGCUCGUGGAAGAGCUUGAUGCAAUACAUUCUGCAAAUCGAGCGGAUGCUGACGAAAGGAUGGCUGAAGAGGACGCUGAAAUUGAAGAUGACCUUCACUAUUAUGCAGCUGAAAUGCUCAACGCCGCCGCUGAAGCCAACCAAUGCAAGCAGGGUGAUGGCCAAUCAAUGGAGCAGCGACAGCAAGAGACGAUGAAACUGCCACUGUAUUCUGAAACAAAGGGUAGGAAGAAAAUUACUGCAGCAAAGAAAAGUGACAAGAGAGCGCAAAUAAAGGCACCACCUGCAGGAAGAGUCGUGGUGCUCGAUGAGAAUGGAGUGCCACUUGGACACAGGAAAUGUAGUGUGUGCAACUAGGUUGCGGGACACAACAAGCUGACCUGUCCAACACUCUUGGAAAGAAACAAUGCCGAGGAGAUCAAGCAACCCAAAUCUCAAAAAUAGCAACCCAAAGUUAUGGAACAAAAGAAGGGACCACACCCACAGAAAGAAAGCACCAGACUUUGUAGCAUAUGCAAGGAGUAUGAACCACAUAAUGCAAUAACAUGCCCGAAGCGAGCAGAUGCUGAAAAGACAAGCAAAAAGCGAGAGAAGAAACAGAAAGCAAAACCCAGAGCCAGCAACAAGAAAGAGGUGGAAGAGGAAGAGGAAGAUGAAGACGAAGACACCGUCAAAGAAGAGGAAGACGAAGACGAAGAGAACGAUGAAGAGAAAGAGGAAGAGGAUGAUGAAGAGGAAGAGGAAGAGGACGAUGAAGAGGAAGAUGAAGAGGAAGAGGUACAUGUCAAGCAAAAACCUAUAAAACCAAAGCCUAGGAGGAGCGCAAGGCUGAUGAACAGUUAGAAUAGGUCAAUUAACACAAUGCAAACUUAUGUCAUGUUAAUGCCCAGAAUAUUAUGUCAUCCCCUUUUAUUGUUGAACUUUCAAAGAAGUCCUGGUAACAUACACUAUGAAGUUCACAUAGUAUUACUGCAGAAGUCCUGGUAUGUUAUGAGAUGAAGUGCUAUGCUGAUGAUGUACUGCAUGAAAGAGCAAGCAGUAAUAAAAUGAAAAACAUACACUGUGAAGUUCAAGUAAUAUUACUGCAGAAGUCCUGGUAUGUUAUGGGAUGAAGUGAUGUGCUGGUGAUGUAUUGCAUGAAAGUGCAAGCAAGAACAAACAUGAAAAACAUAUACUGUGAAGUUGAAGUAAGCUUACUGCAGAAGUCCUUGUAUAUUAUGGCAGGAGGUGCUCGUGUUGUAUUCCAUAAAAGUGCAACCAACAAAUAAUCAUAUAGUAUUGAAGUUCAGGUCAGCUUAUAGAAGAAGUUCUGGUAUAUAAAAUCGAUGUAGGAAAAAAUAUGCUUAAAAAAUAAAGUUUCACCGCAUAAACUAAGGUUAGCAAGCCUAAGACAACGCGUUCAAAUGUGAAGUUCUGCUUGGAUACAUGCAGAAGUUCAUGUACAAUGCCAACAAAAGAUAAAGAAACGUCAACAAUAUUUCUGCACAGAUUUACAUAUGAAAUACGUUCGCACUUGAAAAAAUACAAAAAAACAAAUAUAGAUUCUAUGCAAAAACAUACAUAUUGGUUGGGUUGAACAUUACCAAUACAUUACACAACACAAAAUAUCCUCUCCAUAUGAAACCAGCAGCCCAGCCACAUCUCAAAGCAGAAGUUCAAGUCUACGAUCAUAUGUUGGGAGCCCGAAAAUAAACAACACAAGAAAAAUCAAGCAGUUAAACCAAAACCGUGGCAGAAGUUCAGGUACAUCUGUUGGGGCAAAAACAUUCAACACAUGGAUACUGAAAAACGACACAGUACAUUGAAAUUCACAAAGCCAAAUCAUUCUUCACACCAAAUGCAUUUGUCCACAAUAUCAUAAGUAAUAGUGCUGCACCUAUAGAUACGCAAAUCACUAAAAACAUUCUUACAACCAAAUCUUUACGGAAUUGUUCCAAUCAUUGUCAAACCUAAAAAUCUGUACGAAAUCAAAUCUACAGAUGAAACUAAUGCUUCGAAUUCACGGGCCAAAGGACUGGAUCUCUUUAGGGAGCUCUGAACGCACGACUUCAUUCUUCUCGCUAAAAAUCAGAGUGUGCAUGAACUCAACCUUCCAGUCAUCUGCAGUAGCCUGCAAACAAAGAAAGGUGAAAAUGAUGGUUUAGUAACGGAUAUCUAAAACCACAGCAGGAGCGUCUCAACAAAAACACACAAGAAUAAUCAAAGGAUGAUGAGACAAGAACAAAGACAGAACAUACUUCCACAUCACCAAAAUCUUCAACAAUCUCAUCGCCAUCAUACGAAGAGCUGAACUUCACGGCAAAGAAACCACAAUCAUUACUCUUCUGCUUCGGAACAUCGAUGAAAGUCAGCCUCUUUGCAAUAGUCACCCAGUUAGGCUGCUUGCUCGCCUUGUAUGCAGCCUUGCCGUACACCUCCUCGAGCAACCCAACAAAUCUCUUCAUCUGCCAGAAAUAACAAAGUUAGAUGAAGUCAAAAACAUGUUAACCAAAAUAGUUAAGUUCAGGUACAUAAAAAAGCGACACUUUCAUAAGAUCCACCUAAACAAAAUAGCAGAAGUUCAACUUCUAAAUGACAGUCAGUUCAAGCAGUAUUACCAAAACAGAGACAACAACAUAUUUUGUCAACACAAGGCAUAAUAAACUUUGUGUCAAACAAGAGAAUGUGAAAGGAGGUUCAGGCUAAGAAACACUCACGAUAUUUUGGCAGUCCCCGUGAAAACUCGAUCGCGACGUUUGCAUAUUAUCGUAAGAAAGUGAAUCAAGGAUUUCAAUGCUCCCACGAUAUAUAUUCAACACAUACACACUGUAGUGCGCCAUUGUGCCAAUUGGCUUGAAUAGAAUCAAGAAAACCUGCCAAGAAUGAAAGGAUUGGUGAACACAAACUAUAAAAGCAUAUGUACUGAAGAACCGGCAUGAACAAAAACUUCUUGACAAACUCAGCAAAAGGAUGCACAUGAAAUUAAAAAAAGCAAGAGUUAUGAAAACCUAACUAGCUUUGCGUUAAGAAGGUCUUCUUCCUUGCGAACUAACAUUGGGAGGAGACCAGCAGAUUUUUUUGCAUCAAACUUUGGAACUGUUGCACCGAAGAAAUCAUACUCCAGGCAGUACUGUGCAUUCACAAAAACACAAUUAAAACACCUCCCAAAUGCUACUACAACAAAACUAAGGCAAAAAGAAGGAGAUAGGGGUGCAAAGAACUAAAACCUGUAUGAAGUAGGGACUAAGUACAACCCUGUCAGCACUAGUCAAUAUCUCAGAGGUCUCCGGCUUAUCCUUCCACAAAUUUAUGAGAUAAUCCAUUAUGUCUCCUUCCAUCUGCUGCCCUUCACCGAAAAGCGUAUAAAGGACACGUCCUGUGAGGUCAAUCACAUUCGCAGGGAUGGUAAACAUGCAGUAGCUUGUCCUGCAUAAUACAAAAGGAUGGUAAAAAAUAUUAGCAGUUCAGAUACAACAACAAACAGAAGUUCAGACACUAUAACUCAAAAGGCAAGAGGAGACAUAAAACAGAAGUUCAGAUACUAAAACAAUGGCAGUUCAGACAAUACAACAACAGAAGUUCAGACACUACAACUCCAAGGCAAGGGAGCGACAGAUGAGGGUAACUCACUCAGAAUGCUUCUCUAGACCGUCUUUACUCAACACAUACUGUUUCAACUUCCGGGCCUCGGAUAGAUGAGGGUAACUGUAUUUUUUCAGGGGAGCGAUAGGAGAACGCCACUUCAAAGGCAAUCUUGAUGCUCUCUUGGAGGAAGUUAUGUUCCCAGACUCAACUGCUAGUUUCCUCCUAGUGAUCACAACAUUCUUCCCACCUCUACCAACAAUAGUACUAGCAACACAUUUAGCAUUCUUCGGGUAAGCAAUCUUCUCAAAAUCAUCAUCGGACGAAAUCACUUCUGCUUCGGCUGCUUCGACUGCAUUAGCCUUCCUGUAGCAAGGGUUUUUUGGAGUACCACGAAUACCACCAGCCUACUUCCCCAACUUGGAAGGAAUAAGGGUCCGAGGUCUAUCAUCUUCUAUCGGAGCUAUACUCAUCGGUUCCUCCCUAGGCUGGUAUUCCUGUGACCCGAGGAAUGAGUAGUGGUAAUCGGUCAGCUCCAACGGUUCCACUGUCAAAGAAAAAAGGAAGAGAAAACAUCACCAUUAAAUACAACUGAAGUUCAAGAACAUCACAAUGUGCAGUCCAACUAAUAAAGAUGACAUGGUUACUACUCAAGCUGACCUAAAAAAAUAGUUGCAGUAAAAAACUAAAUGAAGUUCAGGUACAACCAGAGGCACAGUUCAAGAUAAACCAAUGAACUGUAAAUCAUUCAACUACAGCUAACAAAACCAUAGAAAGGCAUCAUUUCUAAAGUUCAAUUAUAAAAGAAAAUGCUCAUGUCCAUUUAAGCAAAACAAAACACACAAGCAAAAUUAAAAAAGAUAGAAAUGAAGUUCAUGUACAAAGAAAAUGCUCCUCUCCUUCCGAAACCAGCAGCCCAGCCAUACCUCAAGCAGAAGUCCAAGUUCAGAGAAAAAUAUGAAGUUCAGGUAGAAUAAAAGAUGCAGUGCAGGUAAGCAGUACAAGUUCCAAAAUACUUACAGGUGUAGUAGCCAAACAGAGCUUGGAAGUCUGUCUCAAACAGGUUAGAAGAAGCGAUUGAGUACAGCCACGUCUUCCUGAUAUCCCCGAUAUUCUCAUGGGAAUAAUUUGCAAGAACCCUGUCAUGAUACGAAUGAACAUUCGUAAGCAUGAAGAAUCCGCAGUCGAUACUGCCAUCAAACAAAGUAAAAGAAAUAGUGUUAGGACAGAAAAAGAAAGCCAACGAAUUAAACACGUUGCAGCUUAAGUACAACUACAGUUAAACGGAUGUGAUAAAGAGAAAAAGUCGAACUCAUACUUGUUUUGCUGCUGGGGGACAUCAAUCCAAUCCAGAGGGAAAUUGUCGAUGCUAAUAGGACUGAAGGGUGUCUCCCUGUCGUUGCUGGCAUCCUUCCAAAGCCUCUUGAUGUUGUCGGUCAUCUGUCGAAACAGGCGUACCGCACAUCAUCUUUUGGUCCAUAGUAGGAAUCGAGAAGCUGGAACCUUGAAUUCUUCAGGUCAAGGAAUACCGACACCCAAUGACCGACACCACCCAUGGAAGCAGGAAGCUCAGGCGGGUCAAAAGUAGGGAAAACAACCUGAAGCAUCAUAAACACACGAAUCAUUAAAAAAAUGAGAAUUAAUAUCAGAAUGGUACAAAAGAAAAAUAAAACAAAUAUUAACACAGUGGAUCACACUGCAAAACUAAUACAGAGGCAAAGAACAAGAUAUUGCAUACCGAAUCAUGUGCAUCCAUGCUAUCUGGACCACUCGCCAUGAAGUACUUCCUCACACGGGAAUCAAAUUGACCUAUGAAAAUCUUGUCCUAAAAUAAUGCAGACAACACCAACAUAUGAAAAAAAUACAAAAAUGAGAUGAACAAGUUUUAACUAAAAUGGUAAGGAACAAAACAGAAAAGAAAUCACUGUAUGGUUGACUUACACAAACCCAAUACGGCAGGAUGAGUUUAUCCGAUCCCUGGUACUUCGCACGUAGACAAUAGAGUGCACACUCAGCCACAUUAGAUGUAAGCAUUCCGCAAGGACCAAAAGAUAUUGCGACUUCUUGAACAGAAGCUUCACACUCCUUGUUUCGGAACAUAAUCAUUGAUCUAAAACAAGCGAAUAGAAAGUAAAACAAGUUCAGUAGCAGGAACUCAGGAAGUUCAUAACACAUGUUAGCACAGAAGUUCAACUAUAUCACAACAGGCAGUACAGUAAAAAACAGGCCAGAAGUUCAGCGCCAGAGAAGCAAAAAAACAAGAAGUUCAGGUACAUAGAGUUGAGAAGUUCAGGUAUGAAACCACAGGCAGUUCACAGGGGGUACAUGGAUGAUGUAAAUGUUGAGCAGCUGCACUCACCUCUUGGAACGGUCAUUCCUAAGCCUAGUUACACUGUAAUAAAAGUCAUCAACCUUCUUUUGCACGACAGCAAGGUCGCUAUCUGCUCACCAAAAAGAAAAUAGCAAUUAACAGCAACACUCAAAGCACAUAGAUUCACGACAGUUUCAAUUAAGACCAACAUUCAAGCAUAAACAUUCAAAACAUAAGCACAUCUCAGCUUCUACAUCAGAAAAGAUAAAACCACAGCAUCAUAGAUAUCACAACCCAUGCAUUACAAACCUCCACCCACAUAGAAAACAGGUUCACUUAACAUUCUUUACAACCCACAUGACGAACAACAAAACCAGAAGUUCAACCUAGACCACACAGGCAGUUCACAGGGGAUAUCAUGGACUAAACCAAACAACAAAGAGGGAAGGGGAUGGGGAAAGAAGAGAGAAGCAUGCUCCUCUCUUCAUGGAUCCUUUCCUAGACCAGUGGCAGCACUUGAAUGAUCAACCUCCUCUCCAUAACUAUCGCUUUCGGUAUCUUCAUCAUCGUCUCCAGCAGACGUUGCAGCAUCGUCAGGAAGGACACCAGCAGCAGCUGGAGCAGCUGGAGAAGCUAAAACAAGAAAAACUUUUGGUUGUGCCUGUACAGCAUUAACAUCAACUGAUGGCUCUGCUGCAGGAGACUUCUUCGGGCUUGCAGCAGCACUACCACCAGUUUCAACAGCAAACUCAACAGCAUCUUUCUCCAAAAUGAUGUCUCCAGUUGUCUUGCCCUGCUCAGCAUUAGAAACCUCGGCGACAAUGGACGACUGAGGUUCAGUCAGGACCACCCGUCGGAGCAGCCGGUGCCUGAGACGGACAUGUCUGCAACCUUCUCUGGAGGAACACUAACAUCAUCAUUCUGCUGCUGCAAAAAGAAACAGAAAGUCAUUACAAAGAGCUGACUGAACCUCAUGCACAGGAGCAGCAAGUCCAUCUCAGGGGCAACAAGACAAAUGGACAAGAAAAAUGGUACCUCAUUUUCACUGCCAUGAACCUCAUCAACUAUUACGCCACUAGCCGGAGCAGGUUCAUGCACAGGGGCAGCCUCAUGCACAGGAGCAGCUUCAUGCGCAGGUAAAACAUCCUCCUCAACCCUAGCAUCAUCAGCAACAACCUAAAAAAUAAAAAAAAAUCAUUUAGAAAACAAAUACCUAAUCAGCAGAAGUUCAGAUUGCACAAUCAGAGAAGGUCAGCUAUCACAACUGACACAUAAUGGAAGUCCAAAUACAGUAAACAUAGCAGGUCAGAUAUCAAACUACGCUAAGAUACAAAAGGGAACAAAAAAGGGCCAGUCAUGGAAGUUCAGGUGCUGUAGCAGUUGAAGUUCAGGUUCAAUAAAAAGAUAAGGUCACCUAGGAACACUAGUGGUAAAAAAACAGUUUACGACACAUCAAAUCAACAACACUCGCCUAUGACCACAAAUAGUAAUAACUGAAAGCUAACAUUGAACAUUAGUGCAAAGAAAUACCAAAAAUCCAACAUAAACAAACCUCUCUGGUAUGCUCCACGUGGCCUCCUUCACGACCCGAACAAACAGAAUCCUGCCUCUGAAUCUGUCUCACAACAACACUUGCCUCAUCUUCAAAAGGCUUGCAACGAGCAUCCUGCAUUUCCUUGAACAGCCCAACGCUAGUCCGGAGGUGGGAAGUGCUCUGACGAAGCUCUUCAAGAAAUUUACCUUCAAUACAUAAGAUCUCCUUCAAAGACUCAACAUCAAACCCGUGCCCGGGAGGAAGAAUCCCAUCAACGCAACUAAGGUCCUCAGCAGUCGAAGGAACACGAGCCAACUCCCCACAAAUAGUUUCAAGAAGACUGUCAAUCCUAACCAGAGAAACAUUGGCAGCUUCAAACAAAUCCUGGGAAGAAACACCACCUACAGCACUCACACGGGUAGAAGAACCUCCUGGAUCUACAGGGGGGCACCGGUAUUAACAUCCCGGGAGAAUUCAAAUCUUGGGGAACUUCCACUCCCUAGGCCGGCAGAACGAGGCAUAGUUAGAACAUGACAUUCGAUAACCCUAAAGAACACAACCUCAGCCUGUGUCUUCCACUGCAUACAAAAACAAAAGUCAACGCGUCAGAAAACAAAUGAAGGAACAUGGGAACAAAAAAUAUACAAGACAAUACCAGAAGUUCAAGGUAAACUACCCAGGAAAGAAUAAUGCAUAGAAACACUCACAGGCAGUCUCCCAAACACCCAGUUGGCUGGGUCAUCAUCGCCUUUCAUGAGCAAGUCAGCCGCAGCAAGCUCAAGAAGCUUGGCCCGAUCCAUGAAAUUGAUGCGAGGGGUCCUCAAGUGUAACAUCCCAAAUUUUCAAUUUGGAAUGUUAUACAUUAGAUCAUCAUGCAUAUCAUAUUUUUUUUGCUUUGGGUUUUGAUCCUAGAAAAUUCUAAGCAACUCAAGGACCCACGGAGAGAUUUGGGGAUUUCGUUAUUUUCAUAUUUAAGUUUUCUCAAAUUUUGAGAAUAGGAUCAUUUGAUUUUAUUUAUUUUAUCAUCAAUUAUUUCUAUUACAAAAAUAUGAGAGAGGGAAUAAAAUGACUUUCCCAAAAUAUAGAAAUAUUGAGGAUUUAAUAAAAAAUCAAAUAGUUUUAUUUCGGAGUUUUUGUUGUUGUUUUUAUUUGAAUUAGGAAAAAUGCGCGUUUUUCAAAAUUGCAUUUAGGGCCCAAAUAAAUGUUCACUUUGUCGGGCUUGAUUUUAGAAGGCCGGAAAAUUUAUUUCGGGAUUUUUGGAGUCCGUUUAGUAUUUCUUUUUAUUUUUCUUCCGAGGGAAAAAAAAGCAACCGACUACGGGCCGUAACCGGCCAGAACUCUGCCGACCGGGGGGCUUUAUAAGCCGCGCCUCGGGCCCGAGCCAGCCCACCAGCAGCCGCCGCCCGAACCCUAACCCUAGCCGCCAGCCACUGCCACCGCCGCCAGCCGCCGCCGUCGCCGCCCCGCCGCCGAUCCACCGGAGCCGCGCGUCGCCCGAGGUUCGCCGCACCUCGAAUCCGUGCCGUUUUUAAAAAAAAUCCGUUUGUCGUUUUUCUUUUUCGUCGGAUUUUUUCGCGGUUAUUUUGUGAUCGCGAUUUCUGAUCCGGUUUUCGUUUAAGUUUUUCUUUUCGCUCGUUUAUCGGAAUCAGGCUAUUCAAGCGCUUGGAGUUUCGUCUCGAAACCCUCUAUCCGAAUAAUCAACUUAAACAAGUUUUUGCUACUGUAAAAUUUGACUUAGGUUCAGAUUACUAGAACGAAGUUGUUUUCUUUCGCCGUUUGACUUUCUUUGCUUCGUUCGAUUUGAUUCCUUUUGCCAACCGGAGUUCUUAAGUUGAACCUUCUAGUUAGAUCUCUUAUUUGAGUUUUACCUGUGCAUUAGAUGAGUACUUAUUGUAUGCUUGCUUGUUUGCCUACGAUAGAGUACCCGGAGUGCGCCGCCUGUUACUUCGAAUCGUUAGGUUUCACGGAUCAUCAGCAAGGCAAGUAACACUUUGAUCAUACCUUUUCUACAACCCAGUUUUUUUGCAUUAUAUCAAUCUUCACACAUUGCAUGAUUAGGAUCUAAUUAAACUGUGGGAUGGGAAGUAGAUGAGAGAGUAUCUAUUACCUGUUUAUUAUCAAACCUUUGGGAGUUACUUCUACGUUUGCUUAUUAUGCCAUGCUAUGCUAGUAGACGUGGAUUGGGUGAGUGAAAUCCAUGACAAAUGUGAGAUUGAUAAUUAAUGGUUUAUCUAAGGUGGCAACUUAAAUACACAUCUGGGUGGAUUGAGGCACCUGGGUAUUCCAGGACAUGCCUGUUUUUUUUUGGACCGCCACCCAGGCUCAAAGGGAUCGUGAGAUUUUUCAAACUAGAAACUUCCGUGUGUAGCCACAAGCCAUUAUGGGCUCUGGCAUAGUUGAUUAAGUCGUGCGAACUCUUACAGGGUAGACUAGCAGAUGUAGGGGAAAGGAGGUGUACCGGUCUAUCCAUCGUAAGGUGCUAGCGCUUCUGAAAGACUGUGUCUCGGUCAUCCGUUUCUCAAACACCAUGUAGUGCGAGAAAUCCAACGGAGGCGAUCGAGUCUUGUGGGGAAAAGUGCGCAAACCUCUGCAGAGUGUAACAAACUAAUCAUGAUUAGCCAUGUCCCUGAUUAUGGACAUCUUGAGUAUCUAGUAUCUGGAUUAUCAUGUGAAUCUCAACAUGUUACUCUAAAAUUAAUGUUGUUGGGUUAAUGAUGAUGCUUAAUUGGGAUUGAGAAUGCUGUCAACCAUUCUCAAUGUUUAACAACCACCAUGAUAGUACUUAAAUUUAUUCCUUUUGAAGUAGGGAAAAAUUGGCUUUAUGCAAAACUGUAACCAUAGAGCUUUCCACCAGCUAAAUAUGCAUAUAGUAUAGCUGUUGCAUUCCAUUACUCUCUAUGUGUUACCUUGCCAGCAUAUUCCAUGUGCUGACCCAUUUUCGGGCUGCAACGUUAAUGUUGCAGACUUUUCAGACGACGAUUAAGGAGUUUUUAGGUCGUGGUUCUAUACUCAGUGAUGCCGUUGGAGUUGAUGGACUCACUUAUCUUCUAAGCCUUCCGCUGUUAUCGUAAUUAGAUGGCCUUAAGCCAUAUUUAUUGUAAUAAGUUCUCUUUUGAGACACUCGAUGUAAUAAGUGUCUGAUUGCUACUCUGCUAUAAAUCCUUCGAGUACUGUGUGGUGUCAGCAUUACUGAUCUAGGGAUGACACCGGAGCACAGAGAUCAGACUGUUUGAGGUCUGGUCGCUACAGAGAUGGUAUCAGAGCACACGCUAACUCUAGGACAUGACCACUAAGCUAAAGACCUAGAUCACUACUCACUCUCUUCUCUUCUGACCUCUCAUCUUUUCUACUCUUUAGGAUGGCGGAUGCAAGGAACAAGUUCACCCAAACGGAUGAAGAUACACCCUUUGGACGCCACUUGAAGGAAGUCACUAGAUACCUGAACAUAGGAGUACCAAGCUUCACAGGAACCUACAACGCCACUUUACCUGAAGAAGAGCGCUGGAUGAUUCAAGUUCAAAUCCCAGGAAGGACGUUCAUGCCAGUCACUGAGCCCAUAGAGUUUUCUUUUGAUGCACCAACUUGGAGUCUAGGAAAGAGCAUGACAGCUCACAUCGCCAUGGGACGCAUUGGAGAAGUCUACCGCAAGGAUCUUAAGGAUACUAUAUACCAGAUUUGUGGGUGCCGAGAUGAACACUGGGAGAUGAUUAACACCAGGAAAGAUAGAUCAAUCGCAGCUUUUAUCCAAGAGUUAAACCAGCACAUUCGACGACAGGAGAAUCAGAUGUGCGCCGACAUGAUAGAUCUGAAGAAGGCUAAGACUAGAAUCAAGGAACUGGAGGAAGAACUCAAGGCUACAUGUGAAGAUUAUGAAGAAUAAAUUGAAGUCUUGGUGGAUAAGAAUGCCGACCUAACUAUGAAGCUAGCAAUAUUUAUGGGAGGCCCGACACCAGUAGAUGAAGACGAAGAACCCAAGGAGAUUAGCCUGGAAGACUACAUCAUCAUCGCCGGCACCGACUCGGAAGCAGAUAGUAGCGAUGAUGAUUAUGUUAAUGAAGCAGGAGCAGAUAUCAUGGAGUCUACAACCGUAGAAUAUUUCUAGUAGACCACCUCAUCAGUAGUAGUAGUCCACCAUGUAAAUAUAGUAGUCUGAGCACUUUGCGAUAGUUAGAUCGAUUGUAUGCCUUUGUUUGUUUGAAUGAAGUGAAUUGUUUGCUUUUGCCUCAUGUGCAUAUGGGUAGUGUUUUCUCUUUAGACCCCCUCUAUUCUUAUAUCUCAUCUCUUCUAAACCUCAGAUGCCUCCGAGACGUGACCCCGGAUUUGCCUUUCCGCCGGAGCUCACCCAGUUGAUCCAGAAGCAGAACACCUUGAUGCAGUUGCUAGUCCAGAAUCAGAAUCAGGGGAACAACAACAACAACCCACCACCAUCACCACCUGUUGACCACUUAGCCCGCUUUCUUAGGCUGAAUCCGCUGGUGUUUUCCAGUAGCACCGAGCCGAUAGUAGAAGAUGAUUGGCUCCGCAAGACAGCUAGGGAGUUGACCACAACAGGAUGCACAGAUGCGGAGAAGGUGAAGUUUGCCACACAUCAGUUAGAAGGACCCGCAGCAUCAUGGUGGGAGAAUUUCACAGCCACCUUUCCAGUCGACAUUGUCACAUGGGAUCAAUUUCAGCAGGCUUUCCGUACUGCCCAUGUUUCAGCAGGAGCAAUGGCCAUGAAGAAGCGUGAGUUUCGUAACUUGCGCCAAGGAGGACGGACAGUUGGCCAGUAUGUGGAGGAGUUUAGUAAGCUAGCACGUUAUGCCCCAGAUGACGUUGCUACGGAUGCAGCUAAGCAGGAGAAGUUCCUGGAAGGACUGAAUGAUGAGUUGAGUAUGCAGUUGAUGGUAGCCACCUUCAACAACUACCAGGAGUUGGUCGACCGUGCUCUUAUGAUUGAAGGGAAGCAACAGCAAAUUGAGAACCACAAGAGGAAGUAUGGACAAGGAAAGUAUAAUUCAGGAGCUCAGCAGAAGCCACGUUUUACCCCUAGACCGGGAGGACAUUUUCAGCAUACCCAUGGAGUAGGUAGCUCGCACAAUCACAAUGGCACCAAGAAUGGUAAUGGGAAUGGAGGAAGCAAUGGCCAGAACCGCAGCACCCCAUCAACCCCAGCCAAGAGAGAUUUGAGUCAAGUCACCUGUUUCAAGUGUUCCAAGACCGGACAUUAUGCCAAUGAAUGUCCUGAAGGCCAAAACGGCAAUGGAAGCUCUGGAAAGAAGCCGAACCCUUUCAACAGGGGACAGGUGAACCACGUUAAUGUGGAGGAGGUUGAAGCUCAGCCCGAUGCAGUAAUAGGUAAGUUUUUGGUUAAGUCAUUUACUGCACUCAUUCUUUUUGAUACUGGUGCAUCGCAUUCAUACAUAUCAAGGGGAUUUGUGGAAAAGUAUAGCCUACCCACUAGGGUUCUCAAAACACCUAUGCUAGUAAGCUCACCAGGAGCAGAGUACAUGGCCAGUCAAGGAUGUUUUCAAGUGCCAUUAAGUAUAGGACGACAUGUUUUCCCAACAGAUUUAAUUAUUCUAGAAUCUCAAGGUCUGGAUGUGAUUCUUGGUAUGGAUUGGCUGUCGAUGUAUGGAGGAAACAUCGAUUGUGCUAGUAAGUCAAUUUUGCUUACCACCACAGAAGGGAGAAGGAUCAAGUAUGUAUCCCGGCAUGCGCUAAACAAGACACAAGUAAAUUCAUUAACAAGAGUUGUGCAGGAGGAAGUACCAGUGGUAAGGGAAUUCCCUGAUGUUUUUCCAGAUGAGUUGCCAGGCAUGCCACCGGAUAGAGAUAUUGAGUUCUUGAUUAAGCUAUUGCCAGGCACAGGGCCAAUAUCAAAGAGACCAUAUAGGAUGCCAGCAAAGGAUUUGGUGGAAAUUAAGAAACAGAUUAAGGAGUUACUGGAUAAAGGUUACAUUCGCCCAAGUUCUUCACCUUGGGGAUCACCAGUACUAUUAGUAGAGAAGAAGGAUGGAUUGUCAAGGAUGGUUGUUGAUUAUCGAGGAUUGAAUGAAGUAACAAUCAAGAACAAGUACCCGCUACCAAUGAUCAAUGAUCUGUUUGACCGAUUGCAAGGAGCUAAAGUGUUUUCCAAGAUCGAUUUGCGAUCAGGGUACCACCAGUUGAAGAUUCGAGAACAGGAUAUUCCGAAGACAGCUUUUACCAUCAGGUAUGGGCUGUAUGAGUAUACCGUUAUGUCAUUUGGUCUGACUAACACGCCUGCCUAUUUUAUGAACAUGAUGAACAAAGUGUUUAUGGAGUUUUUGGAUAAGUUCGUCGUAGUGUUCAUUGAUGAUAUCCUGGUUUAUUCAAAGAAUGAAGAGGAACAUAAGGAGCAUUUGCGUUUGGUACUUGGAAAGCUCAGAGAACAUCAAUUAUAUGCCAAGUUUAGCAAAUGUGAGUUUUGGUUGAAGGAAGUAGGAUUCCUCGGACACGUUAUAUCUGGAGAAGGUAUAGCUGUUGAUCCCACUAAAGUUGAUACCGUGACCAAGUGGGAAGCCCCAACUACCGUUGGAGAGAUCCGGAGUUUUCUUGGACUCACGGGAUACUGCCGGAGGUUUAUUGAGAAUUUUUCAGAGAUUGCGAAGCCUAUGAUGAAGUUGUUGAAGAAAGAUACCAAGUUCAAAUGGACUGAGCAGUGUGAGGCUAGUUUCCAGGAGUUGAAGAAACGCUUGGUUACCUCACCAGUGUUGAUUUUGCCAGAUCAGACCAAGGAUUAUGAGGUGUAUUGCGAUGCUUCACGUCGAGGACUUGGAUCAGUGCUUAUGCAGGAAGGGAGAGUUGUUUCAUAUGCCUCAAGACAACUGAAGCCCCAUGAGUUGAAUUACGCUACGCAUGAUUUGGAGUUAGCAGUCGUAGUGCAUGCCUUGAAGACAUGGAGACAUUUCCUCAUCGGAAAUCAUUGUGAGGUGUACACGGAUCAUAAGAGUUUGAAGUACAUUUUCACACAGAAGGAGUUGAACCUCAGACAAAGGAGAUGGUUGGAGCUCAUCAAUGAUUAUGAUAUGAAAUUGCAUUAUCAUCCCGGGAAGGCUAAUGUAGUAGCUGAUGCAUUAAGCUGCAAGAGCCAUGUCAAUACGUUAAUGACGGGAGAAAUACCCAAGGAGUUAGCAGAAAAUCUUCGUGAACUAUGUUUGGAAAUAGUUCCGAGAGGCUAUGUAGCAACGUUGGAAAUUCAGUCAACUUUGAUGGACAGAAUCAGGGAAGCUCAGAAGACUGACAAGGAGAUUGCUUCCAUAAAGGAGAAAAUGAAAGAAGGAAAAGCUAAAGGAUUUCGUGAGGAUGAGCAUGAUACCCUAUGGUUUGAAGACCGUGUCUAUGUGCCCAAUGACCCGGAGAUCGGGAAGUUAAUUCUGCAAGAGGCCCAUGAUUCACCCUAUUCGAUUCACCCAGGGAAUACCAAGAUGUAUCUGGAUUUGAAGGAUAUUUUCUGGUGGACCGGAAUGAAGAAAGAAAUAGCAGAGUAUGUAGCAGUUUGUGAUGUAUGCCAGAGAGUAAAGGCAGAGCAUCAGAAGCCAGCAGGAUUGUUACAACCAUUGCCGAUACCCGAAUGGAAGUGGGAUAAGUUAGGCAUGGAUUUUAUCGCGGGAUUGCCCAGGACUCGUUCAGUCUAUGACUCGAUUUGGGUUGUAGUCGAUCGAUUGACGAAAGUAGCUCAUUUCAUCCCAGUAAAGACCACUUAUAACAGUGCUAAGUUGGCAAAAAUAUACAUGACCAGAAUAGUAUGUCUGCAUGGAGUUCCGAGGAGUAUCGUAUCAGAUAGAGGAACCCAGUUUACCUCAAAGUUCUAGAAGCAGUUGCAUGAAACUUUGGGAACCAGGCUAGAAUUCAGUAUAGCUUUUCAUCCGCAGACAGAUGGACAGACCGAGACAGUCAAUCAGAUUUUGGAGGAUAUGCUAAGAGCUUGUGCGCUAGAUUAUGGAUCUAGUUGGGACGAUAAUUUUCCAUAUGCAGAGUUCUCUUACAACAACAGUUACCAAACCAGUUUGAAGAUGGCCCCUUUCGAAGCUUUGUACGGAAGGAGGUGCAGGACACCGCUGUCGUGGGACGAAGUCGGAUACCGCCAGUUGUUUGGACCUGACUUGAUUAAGGAGUCUGAACAGAAAGUGAAGUUGAUUCGCGAUAGGCUCAAGGUAGCCCAGUCCAGAUAGAAGAGUUAUGCUGAUUCUAAACGCGAGGAGACAGUUUACGAAGUUGGAGACAGAGCUUAUCUUCGAGUAUCUCCACUUCGGGGAACAAAGCGUUUUGGAGUUAAAGGGAAGUUAGCGCCACGAUUUGUAGGACCAUAUCGAAUUUUGGAGCGUAUGGGAGAAGUGGCCUACAAGUUGGAAUUGCCCGAAGGAUUGUCAGGAAUUCAUGAUGUGUUCCACGUUUCUCAGUUAAAGAAGUGUCACGCGGAGAUGGCUGACAUACCAUUGAGAGACACAGUGCCUUUGGAAACUAUUCAGUUGGAUAAUGAUUUGACCUACGAGGAGAAACCAGUUAAGAUCCUCGAGUUUGCCAGCCGAGUUACUCGCAACAAAGUUAUCAAGUUUUGCAAGGUUCAGUGGAGCCACCACACGGAGGAUGAAGCCACCUGGGAACGAGAGGAAGAUUUGCUCAAAGACCACCCUCACCUAUUUUCUAGCCAACCCGAAUCUCGAGGGCGAGAUUCAUCUUAAGGGGGGUAGGUUUGUAACAUCCCAAAUUUUCAAUUUCGAAUGUUAUACAUUAGAUCAUCAUGCAUAUCAUAUUUUAUUUGCUUUGGGUUUUGAUCCUAGAAAAUUCUAAGCAACUCAAGGACCCACGGAGAGAGUUGGGGAUUUCGUUAUUUUCAUAUUUGAGUUUUCUCAAAUUUUGAGAAUAGGAUCAUUUGAUUUUAUUUAUUUUAUCAUCAAUUAUUUCUAUUACAAAAAUAUGAGAGAGGGAAUAAAAUGACUUUCCCAAAAUAUAGAAAUAUUGAGGAUUUAAUAAAAAAUCAAAUAAUUUUAUUUCGGAGUUUUUUGUUGUUGUUUUUAUUUGAAUUAGGAAAAAUGCGUGUUUUUCAAAAUUGCAUUUAGGGCCCAAAUAAAUGUUCACUUUGUCCGGCUUGAUUUUAGAAGCCCGGGAAAAUUUAUAUCGGGAUUUUUGGAGUCCGUUUAGUAUUUCUUUUUAUUUUUCUUCCAAGCGAAAAAAAACGUAACCGACUACGGGCCGUAACCGGCCAGAACUCUACCGGUCGGGGGGCUUUAUAAGCCGCGCCUCGGGCCCGAGCCAGCCCACCAGCAGCCGCCGCUCGAACCCUAACCCUAGCCGCCGCCAGCCGCCGCCGCCGCCCCGUCGCCGAUCCGCCAGAGCCGCGCGCCGCCCGAGGUUCGCCGCACCUCGAAUCCGUGCCGUUUUUUUUAAAAAAUUCCGUUCGUUGUUUUUCUUUUUCGUCGGAUUUUUUCGUGGUUAUUUUCUGAUCGCGAUUUCUGAUCCGAUUUUCGUUUUAGUUUUUCUUUUUGCUCGUUUAUCGGAAUCAGGCAAUUCAAGCGCCUGGAGUUUCGUCUCGAAACCCUCUACCCGAAUAAUCAACUUAAACAAGUUUUUGCUACUGUAAAAUUUGACUUAGGUUCAGAUUACUAGAACGAAGUUGUUUUCUUUCGCCGUUUGACUUUCUUUGCUUCGUACGAUUUGAUUCCUUUUGCCAACCGGAGUUCUUAAGUUGAACCUUCUGGUUAGAUCCUCUUAUUUGAGUUUUACCUAUGCAUUAGAUGAGUACUUAUUGUAUGCUUGCUUGUUUGCCUGUGAUAGAGUACCCGGAGUGUGCCGCCUGUUACUUCGAAUUGUUAGGUUUCACGGAUCAUCAGCAAGGCAAGUAACACUUUGAUCAUACCUUUUCUACAACCCAGUUUUUUUGCAUUAGAUCAAUCUUCACACAUUGCAUGAUUAGGAUCUAAGUAAACUGUGGGAUGGGAAGUAGAUGAGGUAGUACCUAUUACCUGUUUAUUAUCAAACCUUUGGGAGUUACUUCUACGUUUGCUUAUUAUGCCAUGCUAUGCUAGUAGACGUGGAUUGGGUGAGUGAAAUCCAUGACAGAUGUGAGAUUGAUAAUUAAUGGUUUAUCUAAGGUGGCAACUUAAAUACACAUCUGGGUGGAUUGAGGCACCUGGGUAUUCCAGGACAUGCCUGUUUUUUUUGGACCGCCACCCAGGCUCAAAGGGAUCAUGAGAUUUUUCAAACUAGAAACUUCCGUGUGCAGCCACAAGCCAUUAUGGGCUCUGGCAUAGUUGAUUAAGUCGUGCGAACUCUUACAGGGUAGACUAGCAGAUGUAGGGGAAAGUAGGUGUACCGGUCUAUCCAUCGUAAGGUGCUAGCGCUUCUGAAAGACUGUGUCUCGGUCAUCCGUUUCUCAAACACCAUGUAGUGCGAGAAAUCCAACGGAGGCGAUCGAGCCUUGUGGGGAAAAGUGCGCAAACCUCUGCAGAGUGUAACAAACUAAUCAUGAUUAGCCGUGUCCCCGGUUAUGGACAUCUUGAGUAUCUAGUAUCUGGAUUAUCAUGUGAAUCUCAACAUGUUACUCUAAAAUUAAUGUUGUUGGGUUAAUGAUGAUGCUUAAUUGGGAUUGAAAAUGCUAUCAACCAUUCUCAAUGUUUAACAACCACCAUGAUAGUACUUAAAUUUAUUCCUUUUGAAGUAGGGAAAAAUUGGCUUUAUGCAAAACUGUAACCAUAGAGCUUUCCACCAGCCAAAUAUGCAUAUAGUAUAGCUGUUGCAUUCCAUUACUCUCUAUGUGUUACCUUGCCAGCAUAUUCCAUGUGCUGACCCAUUUUCGGGCUGCAACGUUAAUGUUGCAGACUUUUUAGAUGACGAUUAAGGAGUUUUUAGGUCGUGGUUCUAUACUCAGUGAUGCCGUUGGAGUUGAUGGACACACUUAUCUUCUAAGCCUUCCGCUGUUAUCGUAAUUAGAUGGCCUUAAGCCAUAUUUAUUGUAAUAAGUUCCCUUUUGAGACACUCGAUGUAAUAAGUGUGUGAUUGCUACUCUGCUAUAAAUCCUCCGAGUACUGUGUGGUGUCAGCAUUACUGAUCCAGGGAUGACACCGGAGCACAGAGAUCAGACUGUUUGAGGUCUGGUCGCUACAUCAAGUCAAUAUUAGGCAUCUUGCCAAUGAUAAGGCAGUCCAGAUACAUAAGAAGCGGCGCGAUGGCACAGCCUGUGACAGCUUUUUCUCUGCUAGUACCUUGCUGAUACCUAACAACAGCACUCCGAAUAUAGUCAACAACCAACUGACAGUAGUCCAUAUCUGCCAUAUCCUCAAACACAAGGUUCUCGGCCAUUGCUGCCUCCCUGGACACUCGUGUAGACGUUCCAGGGAUAACCACCUUCAUGAAAACAAUAAGGUAAAACACCUGCAGAGCAAGAUCAUCCUUCGUCUCAUCCUUCACAAGUUCAGCGAGGAUAUUCCGCAAAUCCUUUGUCUUGAUGUCGUCACUCCUAGCAUACCCAAGCUUGCCCUUCAACCUCAUAACAGCAUCAUCGAAACCAUCAUUCGAGGGCCUAGGGGGGGUACGAUUACCUUGAGGGAACCCAAAGAGAUGGUGAAUAGCAUCACUUGUAAUACGUAUAACCUUGUUCGCCUCACCCAUGUCCAAAAUCAUGGUUGAAGGGUCAAUCCUCGUGUAGAUGUUGCCCAUCAAAGGACGAGAAAUGUUGGAAUCAACCUUCAAGUCAAACACACAACCAAAACCAGCCUUGAUAACCCUCGUCUUGUGCCUAUGUUGUAGCAUUUUCGCACACGUCUUGACCUCUCCUAGUGAGCAGCGAACUGUCUUGUUAAAACUUUUCACCUCACCUCCUCCUUGGCCACCUUCUUCGGGUGCUUUGCCUCCUCUCUUCCUCCUCUCAGGCCGCAGCACAAGCUGAUACUAAAAAAAUACAUUGACAAGGAAAAAAGGCAGAACAAUGAGACACACAAGCUUCACCAAAAUUCCACUAAUGCCUACAUACGCACCACAUCUCAGAAGUCCAACUAUGUCUACAUAGGCAGUACAACCAUGUAUGACCAGAAGUUUACAUGCUUUCAAAAAUGUUGGAAAUUUACAAAAGCAGAAGUUCAACCAUGUAUACCAAGGCAGUAAUCAAACAUGUAUCUCAGAAGUCCAACUAUGUCUACAUAGGCAGUACAACCAUGUAUGAACACUAGUUAACAUGCUUUCAAAAAUGUUGGAAAUUUAAAAAGCAGAAGUUCAACCAUAUACACUAAGGCAGUAAUCAAACAUGUAUACCAACAAGUUAAGCUUAUUUCUUCAUGUAUAUACCUAGAAGUCCAACUAUGUACACAAAGGCAGAAAUACCAUAAAAGCAAAGCACGUCGGCUAAUUUAUUCAUCUAUAUGGAGCAGAAGGUCACCUAUGUAUGCCAAGGCAGUGCUAAAAACAAUAAAACUACAGAAAUAGCGACAAAUGCUUAAAAAACAGUAAACAUGAGACAUUCAUACCUGAUUAGUGGCAGCAUCAUCAUCGUCAUUGUCCUCAUCAUCAACAUUGAAAUCAGCAUCAUCAUCGUCCUCUGGAUUAACACGAGAACGCUUCUUCACACCCUUGUUGACCUUUGCAGGUGGAACCUUGCGCUUCACGCCGCAUUUCUUCCCCUUACCAGAUGCACCAGCAUCAAGCGAAGAAGGUGUAGGCACGGCAGUGGCAAGCACACGAGGACUAUGGCAUGGCGUACCACCAACGCCUAGCCCUUCAUCUUCAACAACUUCUGCAGGCCUUGAAACACGUGGGCUCCUCCGAGGAGUAACUUCACCAACUACUAGCUUCCUCGCAGCAGUCUUCUUAAUUUUCUUCUUAACAGGGACAACCGUGCCAUCACUGCCACACGGCACGUCUUCCUCAACAAUGAGCUUAGCUGCAUGAACAGAUCCAGGAACAUCAGAACCUUUCUCAAGGCAGGCCGCCCUCUUGUCAAAAUCUUCUCGCUUCUUCCUCUUAUGUUGGUCCUCCAGGAGAAGCUGAAGAGGCACAUCCUCGGGUUGUGUGACAGGUUCAGUGCCAUCAACAGACUGCAACUGCGUCUCUGACAUCUAAAGAGAGCACAAAAGAUUCGGAACGGAAUCACAACCUUUGACUGAGGGAGCCCCCUCCUCAGCUGCAGCAGGGUUUUCUGAUAAACCCAACUCAGAUAAAACAUCGUUGAUGGUGUUCACAGCUUCCUCCUCUGUGGACACAUCUGCAAAGAACACAAAAAAUCAAAGCAAAAAAUAAAAAAGUCAGGAACAAAAACAAAAACAAACGACAUGAACAAGCUAAAAAAACAUGGCUGAAAACUUUAAAAUGAAAAGAAAAGGGGUUUCACAUACUAGGUGAAGCAAGAGCUGCAGAAGCAAGAUCCUCGAGGCUUGAAACAUUCUCAAGGCUCGAAGCAACCUCGGCAAUCAAAGUCAAAGGGAUAAUGGGUGAUUUAGCCGCAUCAGAUAUUGGAGCAUUAGUAUUAACCUCUGAAGCUCCAUCUUGAUCGCAGGCAUUUUUUUAGAACUAUUCAACUCAUCACCAACUACAAAAAAUGCAAGUAAAAAGGCAUCUGAGUUCUAAUGCACAAUCCUACACCAAAGGGACUUCUACUUUGACAACAAUGUCCAAUAACAAGAAGUUCAACAAUACCUAACAAAGCAGUAAACACAACAAACAAACUAAAAUCUACACACUAACUAUAAAAACAAUCUACACCAGAGGGGCUACUACAUAUAACAUGAAUGUCCAGAAGUUCAACGAUAUAUAACAAAGUAGUAAACACAAAAUGUGCAUAACAGAAGUUCAACCAAAUUUCAUUAUGAACAAACAAUAAUUAAAACCAGAAGUUCAACUAUGUGACCCAAGCAAAUAGCACAUAAAAAAUAUGUAGCAUGACCACAAAUAGUAUUUCACAGCCAAACUAAAUAUCAAUACAAUGAACAUGAUAACAAAUAAAAAACAAGGAUAUACACUAUAAAUAUGAAUCAUUUGGGAAGUCCAACAACACUUGGUGACAUAGUUUCACCUGCAAAUCAUCAACUAAAAAGUAAGCAACACUCUACUAACUCAAGCUAAGGGUAAAAAGCAUACACAUAACCUUUCUUAGAAGUUCACACUAAUAAGAAUGACACUCCAACAAGAAAACUAAGUGAAGAUAUGGGCACCCAUAUAUAAGAAUACUGCUUUAAAAUACAAGAUCCAACUACAUUAAGAUACCUGGAGAAGGUUUGGAAGCCAUGAAAACACAACCCCCGUGAUGAAUGAAACUCCAAACCCUAGAACAACCUACUAAAAACAGGGGAUAGAAUGCAUAUAGUUAGCAGGUAGAAAAUCAUACAACAAAUACAAAAAACAACUAAAUGAAACCCUAGGAUGAAACAACUAGAUAAUAUCAACAAGUAUGAAAACAUGAACAGUAGCACAUAUAGGCAAGCACAAACAAAAAAAGAAUCCAGAAACUAACUAGCAUGUGACAGACACAAUCUAGAAUUCGAAAUCAACAAUACUAAGACAAUUAGAUACAUCAGAUUCAACAUGAACCAUCACAUCACACUCUCUCUCACAUGCAUCUGAAUGCUGAAAUCACCAAAGGGGAAAUGAAAUCCAAUCAACUCUGAACGGAGAAAUAGCACACACAAGCAUCUCAUAGACAAAUCUGACCACAGGGGAAUGGAAUCCACCCACCACACGCACAAGAACCCUACCUAAUCUCCCAUCAAACCAUCAGAAGAAGGGGGUAGGACGCGGACGCGAGAGCAGGAGGUGAACUCGACAGAUCUGGCGAAACUAAAAGCAAGCAUUAGGGGGGCAGCAUUUGUACCUCUCAAAACAACCCCCGCACACACGAAUCCGCGACGGUUCUUCCACUCCCCACGACGCCACGCGCACCUUGCAACCGCGCAGGAAGUUGCCGCCCUCGCUUCAGAGCAGAAUAGAGCGGGCUGGGCGAGGGGGAGCGGGGCGUGGGGGAGAAAUAGAAGCGGGGGCCUGCGCCGGUUACUCCAGCACGAGGGCAGGGGACAGGGGCGAAGAAAUCGGGGGGAGUUGGAGGCGAGGAAGGCAGCGGAGCGACGGAGAGGGGGAAUAGAGCGAGCGACAGGGGGAGAGGGGUUUUCUGACAGGUGGUGACGAGGGAGAUGCUCACUUAAUGCCUAUAUGUCGUCGGAAUUACAGCGCCACUGAAUUUACAGUUUUACCCCCCAACAGCUAAAAAGUAAAUACAUCUAUAGAUAAAUGAAUGCACCAUUUGAAUGCAUCUAUUAUAAUGAGAUAACUGCACACAACAACACUGCUGAUAUCCUUAAAACCAAAAAUAGAUGGCAAAUGCACUACCAAAGGAAGAAAAAUACAUACAUAAAUAUGCACCUAAAAAAACAACAGAAAGAAGUUCAAAAAACAAAGAAUAGAAGUUCAAGUACUCUAAUAAAAGAAGUAACGGCAUAAGAAUAAAUAAACCCUAAGAAACAAAAAGAAGAAGUUCAAGUACAAAAGCAGAUGAAGUUCAUAUCUAACCCUAAACCCUAAACCCUAAACCCUAAAAACCCUAAGAUAGAUAGUGGGGUCACGGAUGUGACAGACUCGCCUCCGCAUGCGAUGACGCGACACGCCGCGUCGUCGCCUGCUCUGGCUCGUUCAUGUCUCGGCCUCGCAGGGGGACGGGAGGGGGGGUCCUGACCCCCUCCCCCCUGCUCGGCCUCGCGCUACCGCAUUGCUACGCGCUAGGAUUUGACAGGAUGCAAUGCGGUUAUUCUGUUUCCACCCCCACCGCACGCACCCUAAACCCUAAAAACCCUAAGAUAGAUAGUGGGGUCACGUAUGUGAUGGACUCACCUCCGCAUGCGACGACGCGGCAUGCCGCGUCGUCGCCNNNNNNNNNNNNNNNNNNNNNNNNNNNNNNNNNNNNNNNNNNNNNNNNNNNNNNNNNNNNNNNNNNNNNNNNNNNNNNNNNNNNNNNNNNNNNNNNNNNNNNNNNNNNNNNNNNNNNNNNNNNNNNNNNNNNNNNNNNNNNNNNNNNNNNNNNNNNNNNNNNNNNNNNNNNNNNNNNNNNNNNNNNNNNNNNNNNNNNNNNNNNNNNNNNNNNNNNNNNNNNNNNNNNNNNNNNNNNNNNNNNNNNNNNNNNNNNNNNNNNNNNNNNNNCUCGGCCUCGCAGGGGAGGGGAGGGGGGGUUCCGACCCCCCUCCCCCCUGCUCGGCCUCACGCUACCGCAUUGCUGCGCGCUAGGAUUUGACAGGACGCAAUGCAGUUAUUCUGUUUCCACCCCCACCGCACGCACCCUAAACCCUAAAAACCCUAAGAUAGAUAGUGGGGUCACGGAUGUGACGGACUCGCCUCUGCAUGCGAUGACGCGGCACGCCGCGUCGUCGCCUGCUCCGGCUCGUUCCUGUCUCGGCCCAUACUUGGGCUAAUCCCAUGAUUUCUCACAAGACAAAAAUCUAAAAAGAACAUCUAGAGAAUUAAAAAUUACAAAGAAAACCAAACAAACAAAAUAUAGAGCAUCAUGCACCUUCGCCUUCCAAUGUGGAGUGCAAAUCUCCAAAACCAGAAGUUCAACCAUUAAUAAAAAAGAAGUCCAGAUCCUACUGAAGAUAGUGCUUGUGAUCCAGCUCCACACUUACACACUAGUUACAACAAAAUUGCAGAAGGAAUCUACUAAGGGUUUUUGAUUUCUGGAAUGUAAUCUGUCCUGGAAUAUCAAUGUCAAAAAGAUGAACCUCCAUUCAAGAAUUUUUUUGCUGUGACAUAAAAAACCAAGAAAGAAGCACAUGAGGAAUAAUAAUGUUUAGUGUCGAAGAAACAAAAUGCACAAGGCGUAAGUUAACUAAUAAAAUGUUCUAAAUAAAGGUAAGUUCAAGUUGUAAAAACACAAAAGUUCGGCAUUUGGAAAAACAUCAAAUGAACAUGUAGAAAAGACAAAUAACACAGAAGCAAAAAUCUUGUAAGUUCACGUUAAACACAAACUGAAGUUCUACCACUUUUUGAAGUAUGCAAACAUGUUACAAAAAAAUAAGUAAGGUAUGCAUGCAUAUUUGGGAAUAAUCCCAUAGUUGCCACGGAACAAACUAAAACCCAAAUUAGAAAAUUGAAAAUUACAAAAAAAAACAAAAAAA
This 87174-nucleotide long non-coding RNA is filed under the name Triticum aestivum (bread wheat). RNAcentral's name for it is "long non-coding RNA (TAES_LNC014924)". The record is from RNAcentral. Lineage: Eukaryota; Viridiplantae; Streptophyta; Magnoliopsida; Poales; Poaceae.